GACAUUUGGCACACCUCCUUUUGAGUUGCAAAAACAUUUCUAAGUUGAGGUUAGAUGAGGAGAUAAGAAGGUUACCAGAGUACCACUACUUGUCUUCAAAUCUCGCUUACAUAAAGUUGAGAAGGUGCAAGCUUGAGUAAGAUCCAAUGCCAACACUUGCGAAACUGUCUUACCUAAGUAUGCUUGAAUUACAUGAAGAGGCUUUCAUAGGAAAGGAAAUGUUUUGCUAUGGACAAGCUUUUGCUAAACUUGAGUCUCUAAGCCUUAAGGAGUUGAACUUUCUGGAGGAGUGGAAAGUGAGUGAAGGAGCCAUGCUUUGUCUUCGGUGAUCAGAGAUAGAGAACUGUAGACAACUAAAAAAGCUUUCAGAUGGGAGGUUCAUUGCAACCCUUCAAGAACUGAAGAUUAAACUAAUACCGAAGACAUUCAAAGAUAAAGUGGAGGAAUGGGGAGAAGAUUUCUGCAAAUUCCACCUUGAGUCUCUAAGCCUUAAGGAGCUUAACUUUCUGGAGGAGUGGAAGAUGAGUGAAGAAGCCAUGCCUUCUCUUUGGCAAUUGGAGAUAGAGAAUUGCAGACAACUAAAAAAGCUUCCAGGUGGACAGAGGUUCAUUGCAACCCUUCAAGAACUGAAGAUCAAUGCCAAAGACAUUCUAAGAUAAAAUGGAGGAAGGGGGAUAAGAUUUCUGCAAAGUCCAACAUGUUCCUUCUACCUGUUAGUUCAAAACUCUGGUAAGGAAAAUCUCGAACACACGAUCGAAACUCGAACAGUAAAAGAAGAAAUAGGACAGGCUCCAAGGCGUGUAUCAAGCCACUAUCUUUAAGGUUAUAUUCGCCCUCACCUACCUUCGGUGUGCAAAUGAGUUCCAAGCAAAUUAACCUCGAGGAUACAAUGAAGUCAAUGACUAUUUGUGUUUUGCACUGACGAGAAUAGUCCACUAUGCACUGAGCAAUGUAUAACAAAAAACUCAAUUUCUACAAAGGAUUUCUGCAGUAAUACUUUAUAGAAUAAUCUAAUAAUAUUAGAAAAUGAAAGAAGGAAAAAAAGAAUAUUAGAAUUUGUUGAUCUAUUUCCAAAUGAAAUCUCAUUCCUAUUUAUAGGAAUUUUCAUGUCUCUUCAUAGAGACACCUUUCAAUAGGUGUCUUUAUGAAUAAAUAAAUAAUAAUUAUUCAUUUAAUUUUGUAACUAUUCAAAUAAUAUUUUUUGAAUAAUUAUAAUUCUUUAAAAAAAAAUCAAAUAAUAUAACUUUUGACCAAUGACCAAAAGAUUUGUCUUUUGAUUAAUUACACUCAUUCAUUUAUAGUUAUUGGGAUACUAUAAAUAUUUGAAAAUGUUUCAACACUAUCAUAUUCCAAAAUUGCGAGUGAUAGUACUCAUGAUUAAUGCCGGUAAUUCAUAAUCUUUGUUUUAGGAAAUACUUACCCGAUUUGUUUAUACAUCAUAUUGACAUUUUUUAAUAUUUCCUCUUAAGGUAUUGAAGGCAUGCCAUUUUUUUUAUUCUGUUGCUGCUCUUUAUGGGACCAAAUAUAUGUAAAAAAGUUGUAACAGUACUGUGUGAAAUUGUGUACGUGGUGCUCAUUCGGAUAAUUAUGAACUUUAUUACUUCUAUACCAGCCAUUUGAAAUGGGGUGCUUACAAAUAAGUUCAAACCAUUUCAAGUGUUCGAAAAUACGACCCCUUUCACCUUUUCUUUUUGCCAUUGCCAUAGAGCAUUUAAGACAUCUCAUCGACGAAGUGAUUAAAGGUGACAAAUGAAAGCCCAUCAAACUGUAUAGAGAUGGGCCACAAAUUUCGCAUUUGUUUGUCACCGAUGACCUUGUUCUCUUCUAUAAAGCAGACAUGAAACAUGGUGAAGUCCAAAGAAUCCUACAAGAACAGAGCAGAUAUUCUGCCCAUAAAAUUACUGCUUCCAAGAUGCAAAUAUAUUUCUCGUCAAAUUUGAAUAAAAUAUAUGCAAUUUACUUAAAUUUCACUUCUCAUUACAACUUUUAAAAUUAUAACUUCAUUCUCUACCGAAGUUAAAAGGUUUAUCUUUUUACUUGAAUGCUGCAAUCAAAACCAAUUAUAACAUCAGAAACGUUAAGCAAACAAGCAUGCAAUAGCAAAUGGAAAAACAAAAAGUUUUAAUCUUUGAAAUUUAAAUUAUUUUAAUAUUUAUAUUUUACAUAUAUUUGGACAUGAAUAUAAAAUAAAUUUUUUUAAAAAAUGAGUACAUUAUUCGUAUCUUUCAUGAGAAAAGAAUAACUCUAUUUUGGCAAUUAGUGCAAUCUGAUUUAAUUGGUUAUCAAAUAUUAUUGGCUCCCCUUUUAUUCUUUGCUCAAGCUUUUGCUUUUUAUUCAGAAUCAGUCGCCUAAGCAUUGGGUUGAGAAUCCAAUUUUCAUUGCAUAGUACUUUGCUACAUCAUGAGAAUCACUUAAACCUAUUGCACAAGCAAGAAUUUAUAGUCGAAACAUUGCACAAUGCUGUCUUUUGGCAAUAUAAUCGUUUUUUGGUGCUUUACUUAAACAUGCUUCAAGGAAUUGGUAAAGAUAAAAACAAAAAUAAAAGAUUGGUUUCAAUAAAUUUAGUUGUUCUUGUUUUAGCUUCCAUUAAUGAGGAUACUUGCUAAAGCAAUUGGAUAAGAAUCUAAUUUCCCUUGUGUAGUACUCUUAUCCUUCCAUGGGAAUCACCUGAACCUUUGUCCACAAGCAAGAAUUGUAUGGUUUACUUUAACUUUGAACCAUAUAGUCAAUUGUACCAGAAACCAAAAAAUCCAAAAUAUCAACCGUAUUUGGUCACAAAAAAAAAAAAAUGCUCUCCCAUGGAUUUCUCUGCUGUUUCUUCUGCUCUCAAAGCAAUCGGCGAGCUAACACAAGAAGUCACAUCCUUGUGGGGCGUCGAUGAACAAGUUGAGGACCUAGCAAGUGAGCUGAGAUGGAUGCAAAGCUACUUGAAAGUGGCAGACGCAAGAAAAGUUGAUCAUGAGGUGAUACGUACCAGCGUUGUUAAGAUCAGAGAGUUGACCUACGAUGCUGAAGAUGUGAUCGAGACGUUUUCCCUCAAAGUUGCUUCCAAAAGGAAAGGUGGAUUUUCAAAUUGCAUCAAAAGAUCCGCUUGUUUCCUCAAAGAGGGAUGCCUGCUCCACCAGAUCAAGUAUCACAGUUCGGGGUUGAUGGAGAAGGACCAAGUUCUUCAACUGAAAGGCUGGAGUCAAGGCGGCCUUAUCCUCAUGUUAUGGAUGAUAACAUUGUUGGAUUGGAUAAACAUAUCAAGAAACUGGUCACAGUUCUUCUCGAUGAGCAAAGUGAAAGUAGGGUUGUCUCCAUAUGCGGAAUGGGUGGUCUGGGCAAGACCACUCUUGCCAAGAAAAUAUAUCAUCACAGCCAAGUUGUUGGUCAUUUCACGCACUUGGCUUGGGCAUAUGUUUCUAAAAAUUUUCAAAAAAGAAAAGUUUGGAAAGAUAUUCUAUCAGAUCUUAACAUCUUAGGUGAAGCCGAUAAGGAGAAGGUCGAAAAGUUGACAGAGAAGUUAUCUGAUUUCUUGGAGAAAAACAAAUGUUUGGUGAUACUCGAUGAUAUUUGGGACACCAAGGCUUGGGAUAGCUUAAAACCAGCAUUUUCGGCAAGAGAGACGGAAAGCAAGAUCUUACUCACCUCUCGGAACAAGGAGAUAAUUUCACAUGCUGACAAAAAUGGUUUCCUAUAUGAAUUGCAGUGCCUAAACUAGGAACAGAGUUGGGAACUAUUCCAAAAGAUUGCCAUUCCCCCAACAAAUUCACCAGGUAAUAUGUUUAUUGAUUUCAUAAUGGUGAAAUUAAUCUAUCUUAAUAUAUAUUGCAAUAUUUACUCUACAUUCUAUUUUUGGACGAAAAAAAUUGUAUAUUCUAAAUUGGCAUAAUGAUUUAUUUAACACACCAACUUUAUAAAAAAGUCAUUUUAGUCCUUCAUUUAAUUUUUCAUCUCUUUUAGUUAUUGAACUUUGUCAAAUUACCCCCAAAUGGAUAUAUAGAAAAGUUAAUAUUUGUUAAUUUUGUUGAUAUGACAUCUACAUGGUAGUUCACAUACGUUAGCAAUUAAUUAAUUUGAAGAUGAGAACACUGUUUAUUUUCUAUCAUAUUACUAAGAUAACUUUAAAAAUAAUUAUAAUUUAAUUUAAAAUUAUUAGUUAAAAAAUUGUGUUAAUUUUAAAAUAAAGUUACUACUUAAAUGAAACUUUAAGCAUAAAAUUUUUUACAUUAAUGAGAAUAUCUUUUACUUUUAUUAUAUUACUAAAUUCACAUUUAAAAAAAAAGUUGAAGUAAACUAGAAGUUAUAAUAAUUAUAUAUUUACAAAUAAUUAUAAUUUAAUUUUUAAUUAUUAGUUUAAAGGUUGUGCAAAUUUUAAAGUAAAGUUAUUACUUGAAUGUAAAUCUAAGUAUAAAAUAUAGGCCAAAGUUAUAAUUAUAUUUAAAUAAUAAUUAUUAGUUAAAAGUUUUGAUGUAAAAAAAUUGUGUUAAUCUUAUUAAUGUAAAAUAGAGCCAUUACAAUUUUAAGUAUUUUAAUUAUCACUUAAUUAAUCUAGAGUUAAUUAUAUUAAUUAGUUAUGUUUUGAAUAAUAUUUCUUUGCAUUAACCACAUAAAGUAAAACUAUAUUAUAUGUUGAAUAUGUUAAAGAUAUUUUAAUUAUGAUUUGAAAAUUUUAUAUUAUAAUAUUUGAAUUGAUAAGUUAAUAUAUUUUAAUUAUAUUCAAUAAUUCAAAUAAGAAAUAUUAUUUCACGUUAAUGACUGUAAUAAAAAAUAAAAAAAUUUAAAAUUUUGAUUAAAUAUUAAAUAUGUAAAAUCACAUGCAACAUAUAUAACAAUAAGAUUUAAUAUAAUAAAAAUUAUGAACUUUUAGUAUAAUUAUUGAAUUUUCAUGAAGUUGAUUAAAAUUUGAUAUUUGAACUAGGGGUGAGCAAAACUCGAUUCGACUCGAAAAAAUUGAAAAAAAUUCGAAUUUCGAGUUAAACGAAUCGAGUUAUUCGAGUUAAUCGAGUUAUUCGAAUCAACUCGAAUUUUUUUUUCGAAUUUCGAGUUCGAAUCGAAUUGAGUUUUCAAAUUCGAAUAACUCGAAUAAUUCAAAUAAUUCAAAUAUCAAACUAUAAUAUUUUACAUUUUUACCCCAAACUCCUAAACCUUUUUACUUUUCCCUCAAAACUUUUACUCCUUCCCACUUUCCCCCCAAAACUUUUACUCCCCUCUCCUCCAAACCCCCCAAUCUACCCAAAAUUCAUUUCCCGCCAAAAUUUUACUCUCCCAUUUAUUUUUUCUCAAAAUUUUACUCCCAAAACCCCUCAAAACCUUUUAUUUUCUCCCAAAAUUUUUACUCCCUCCCACUUUUCCCCUAAAACUUUUAUUCCCUUCCCAUCCCACCUCCCAUCUACCCCAAACCCUCCCCCCUCCAAUUUUUUUUUUAAUAUUUUUCCUCCAAAAUUUUACUCCCCCUAUUUACUUUCCCUCAAACUUUUAUUUGCCAAAACUUUUUAUUUUCCCCCUAAACUUUUACUUCUCACCCUUUACCCUCAAAUAAAAAAUCAAAAUUAUCCAAAAAAAAAUUCACUAAACAUAAAUAGUAAUAAUUUUAUUUAUAUCUACUAUUUAUAUUAUUAAAUUAAAUUUCACAUUUUAUAUUAUUUAUAUUAUUUAUAUUAUUGAAUUGUUUAGUCAUAUUGAAUAUUUAUAUUAAAAUUGAAUUAUUAAUUAUGCCAUAAAAUAUUCGUGUUAAAAUUUUAUAUUGGUAUCAAUUUCACAUAUUAUUUUUAAAAUAACUUUUAUUAAAAAAAUCAUAUUUUUACAUUUAAUAUAUUUUUUAAUUCUAAAAUACAUAGUGAGAAGAAUCUGAAGAUAAUUGAAACAACUAAGCAAGCAAAAAAGCUAACCAAUAUAUAAAAAAUUAAUAAAUAAAUUAUGAGGUGAUGAAAGUUAAUAAAAAAUUUCAUUAAGGUGGACAAAUUUUAUUAUGAUGGGUGACAGUGGUUACAAGGACCCAAAAUUAUUUUUUAAAAUUUAACUCGAACAAAUAUAUUCGAUUCGAUUCGAUUCGAAUUCCAUCUCACUCGACUCGAUUCGAAAAAACUUCAAAUAAAGUUAGGAUGAUAAAAUGAGAUUCGAAAACUCGAUUAACUCGAAAAUUUUCGAUUCGAUUCGAUUCGAUUCGAUCGAAUGCUCACCCCUAAUUUGAACAAAUAAAAAUGCUACAAAACUACUUGUUUCAAUGUCAUAAAUGGGAUUUACUAAAUUAACUUUCAUUAAUAUUAAAAUCUUUAAAUACAUAUUACGAGGAGCAAUCAUAAUAUGUUUGUAGUAAAAAAGAAUACACUAAUUUUAGAUUAAAUUAUUAUAAUUUGAUUUAAAUUUAUUAGUUAAAAAAGUAAUACUAAUUUUAAAAUAAAAAUUUAAGUAUAAAACAUAUUAUUGAUAAUAUUGUGGCUAAUUACUAAAGUGUAAUGUUGUGGGUAACUUGCAUGGCUUCCUGCUUCACUAAUUAUUUGAAAUUGUUUAAGAUUUCAAUGUUGUGAUUAAUUACUAAACCGUACUCUGGUGUUGAAGUUAUCACUGAUUUUUUUGAUACUUUGUUUUGGUAUUAUACAGGCCAUAAAAUUGAUUGAAAAUGAAGAAGUUAGGAGAGGACAUGGUUAAAAACUGUGCAGGGCUUCCAUUAGCCAUCGUUGUAUUGGGAGGAAUUUUGGCUACAAAGUAUCCUUCAUUAACUGAAUGGCUGAAGGUAUCGGCAGAUGUGAUCAUACUUGAACAACAAUAAAGGUGAAGUACUGAGAGAUGUGUUGUCAUUAAGUUAUGAUGAUUUGCCUCCCUAUUUAAGACCAUGUUUUCUUUAUUUAAGCCACUUUCCGGAGGAUUAUGAGAUACCUGCGGAUAGAUUAAUUCAAUUAUGGGUUGCCGAAGUAUUGUUUUAUCAAAGCAAGGAGAUGAAGGGCAAAUAGAAGAAGAUGUGGCUGAAGGUUAUUUAAUGGAGCUUGCAGAAAGAUGUAUGAUUCAAGUACGAGAAAGAGACAUUGCAACCUUAAAGAUGAGAAGUUUUCAGAUGCAUGAUCUAAUGAGAGAUGUUUGCUUGUCAAAGGCAAAAGAAGAAAAUUUCCUCUAUAUUGCUGAUCAGUCAAAUGCGUGCCAGUUAUCCACAAUUGAGAGGGUUCACAGAGUUUCUGUACACAAAUAUUUCCCGAUACAGGGCAUUAAAAGUUCACAUCUUCGAUCACUUUUGUUCUUCGAUGAGUUUUUUCCGUGCAAGGAACAGGAAAAGGUUUUGCCAUUGACAGUGACAAACUACGUCAACAACCACAGCAAUGAAGAUUUCAAUCUACGUUUUUGUUUUGUGGUGGCUUUCGUUAAUUGUGUGCUAAUUACUAAAUUUAGGGGAGUUUGGAAAUAUAUGUUCAAUAAUUUUAAUUUUCUUAGAGUCUUAGAUUACGAAAGACGAGGAGAUGCAGGAUGGAAGUUACCCAAUGAUAUUGGGAAACCCAUCCAUUUAAGGUUCUUGAGACUAAGGAAUUUGAACUUCCGAAUUUCAAAGUUGCCAUCAUCUCUAGGCAACUUAAGCUGCUUGCAGACCUUGGAUUUAAGAAUCAUCUCUAAAAGAAGAUCUUGGGAAUCUAUUCAUGUACCUAAUGUGUUAUGGAGGAUGCAGCAACUAAGACAUCUAUAUCUCCCUUAUAGAUGUAGUCCUGAAACAAAGUUGAAGUUGGGUACAUUAGGAAACCUCCAAACACUUGUCAACUUCAACACCAAGAAUUGUUAUGUAAAGCAUCUUAUCAACAUGACAAACCUUAGAGAGUUGGAGAUUCGAGGGCCCUUCAAUAUUGAAGAUUUUAACACCGAAGAGUUGGACAAGAAUCCACCUAUCAUCCAAAGCAAAUAUCUUCAUUCCUUGUCUAUUUUCUAUUAUGAAGGAAGAAUAGAUCCAAGACAUUUGGUGCGCCUCCUUUCGAGUUGCCAAAACAUUUCUAAGUUGAACUUAAAUGUGGAGAUAAGAAGGUUACCAGAGUACGACUACUCAUCUUCAAAUCUUGCUUAUGUACACUUGAGAGGUUGCAAGCUUGAGGAAGAUCCAAUUCCAACACUUGAGAAGCUGCCUAACUUAAGAGCUCUUAAACUACAUGUAAGAGCUUUCAUAGGAAAGGAAAUGUUUUGCGCUACAGAAGGUUUUCCCAAACUUGAGUCUCUAAGCCUUGCGUGUCUUGAAAAUUUGGAGGACUGGAAGGUGGAUGAAAGAGCCAUGCCUUCUCUUCGGCAAUUGGAGAUACAAAAAUGCAGACAGCUAAAAAAGCUUCCAGAUGGAUUGAGCUUCAUUGCAACCCUCCAAGAAUUGAAGAUUGGAUCAAUGCCAAAGACAUUUGAAGAUAAAGUGAAGGAAGGGGGAGAAGAUUUCUGCAAAUUCCAACAUGUUCCUUCUAUCACAUUCCACCACUGCAGGCACUGCAAGUGCUAGUAAUUAUGAUUAAUGCCAGGUAAUUCAUAAGAUUUGUUUUAAGAAAUAUUUAAUCUUUUUGUUUAUAUAUAAAAAUCCACAAUUAUUUUGCAUGUUUAGAAUCUUUCUAAAGCAGAUAAUAAUUUAGGCAAGAUCCUAGCUUCGGUUCUUAUCCUCUGUUUUUGGUAAUGUCUCAUAUUCCCACAGGAUUUGUCAUUUGAAUUAAAAGUCCUAGAAAAUGUUUUCAAUAGGCUAUUAAGCACGCUGGUGAUGGUCGACAGAUGCAUUUUGCUGUUCUUUAUGGGACCCAACAUAUUUAAAGGAGUUGUGACAAUAUUGUGUGGAAUUGUGUACGUGGUGUAAAAUUGGAGAUUUGAAUUUGUCUUGUAUUUUCUAUGUAUGUUGUGGAUACUAUUGUUGUUCCCAUCAGAUUUGUUUAUUGUUUUUUUUUAAUUAUUCUCAAAUUUGUAAUGUUCCCAAUUAUCUAAAGAUUUUUAAGUAAUUUUCUAUUACAUAUAGAACAAUCAUCGAGAGGACAAAAAGAGUUUGUACUUUGUACAAAAUAAAAGGAAAUACAAAAACAACACCAAUUUCAUAAAUAUUAAUUAUACCGUGGGAUGGUUGAACUUUCAGAAAAUAGAUUUGUACCUGACUUAGGACUAAAUUUAUUCUUUGCUUAAACUUUCUGCAAGGAUGGUUGAGAAAACAAAAGUCAAGAUCUUUAUGGAGUUUUAGUUGUUAUUUAGCUUAUGAUAAAUUAAUGAUUGAGACUUUUGUGCUCAAAAUUGCAUCCAAAUAUGUAGCACCCUAAAUCCGACCUAGACAUUAUGAUUGGAUCUUGAGGAAUUACAUCAACUCCUUUAAAAAUUUUUUAUUUAGUAACACAAUAUUGUUACGAAAGCAUAAAAUUUUGACAAAACUCUCACAUAUAUUUUUAGAAAAUCUUAUGUUCAAAAGAACUUACUUUACAAUAAAGUCACCUAAUCACUUAUUUAGUUUGACAGCGGAAAUUUUCAGAAUUUUAAUUCUGAAAAUCGAGUUCUAAUUUGAUCGACCGAAUAAUUUUGUUGUUUUACGUUAAAAUACCAAAAUCCGACAGAAUUAACAAAACCAUAAAGCAUAGUCCAAAAAGUCCAAAAAAAUAAUUAAAAACAUGAACUCUCAUUUAAUUUACUGAGAAUCAAUCUGAGCUCCCACAUGCCGUUCGAUCUUAGGGUUGCUACUUUCUUGAAAAGAUUUAAGAAAAAAGGGUGAGCUAUAAAGCUCAGUUUGCAACUUAUCUCAAACAGUAUCAUAGAUAACAUAUCAAACAGUUCAGAAUAACAUAGAGAAUUCUAUCAAGUUCAAAUAAGCAAAAUUGAGCAUACAAGAAAUGUCAAUGCAAUAUUUUCAAAAAACAUAAUGCAGAUUUUUUCAAAAACAUCCUACCCAGCUCCGCUACACACCGAUUAGAGUUCCCUAGAACUCGUUUACCCCAAAUAUCACCAUAAGAAAAAUUAUGGUCAAAGCCACCAAAGAUGCAGUUAAAUUGCCAUAUCAGAUAUAUGUGAUCAAGCCACUAUAUUUGCAGCCUAGCAUGCUAGAAUAGAUAUGUGGUUAAACCACCAGAUAGUGUAGAUCAUUAAACAACCAGAACUUCCUUGUUAUCAUAUCAUCCCAUCCCCAUGCAAUGUGACAUGGCAUGCAAAUACAAAAUCUAAAUGAAAACCAUGUAAGACAUGCAGUCCUACAAUUCACAGAAAUUAGAAGGCAUGGAGUUCCAUGCAUAGUCAUAUAGCAGUUUCAGAAAUAAACAGGAUAACAUGAUUAGAUUUCACAUGCUCAUAUAUGAACAUAGCAAAAUAGAAACAUGCCAUUACAAAACUCAACAAGCUUACACAUCAGAUCAUGCUAUCAUGGUUUCAAAAGUAGUACAAACAAAGACAAAAUAUCAGAUUUUGUAUUUAAAAGCCAUAUGUAUCACAUUAUAAACCUUGCGAAGUGGUUAACAUUGAGUCACAUUUCGUUUAUUGCCCUAAGGAAAAUUUUCAAAAAAAUGGGUCCAUAUGCCCGUGUGGCCCACAAAUCCUAACGUGCCCAGCCCAUGUGGCCUACACAACCUAAUUAACCUAGACUGUGUGAGCCACAUGGUUUGCCACACGGCCUGGCACACGGUCAUGUGACGUCGAUAAUCCACUUUUUGGCAUCGCGCCAUUCGCGAUUUUUUGAGUUUUUCAUUACACACCUGAUUGUUUUUCGAUGCAGACUCCAUAACGAGGAUCUUAGAACCUAAAUGAUGAUCAAAAUUGAAAAUUUAGCAACAAUAAAUCAAAUUUUAAACCAUUAAAUUCUACCACCACUGCCAUCCAAAGACCUCAACAAGCGAAAAUUAGCUUUAGGCAAUGAUUACUUACCCAAAAUAGCAAUGGCAAACCCCAAAAGAAAACUCCUAAUCUGUCGGAAGGUUGUCAUGUGACUUACGAACCUCACCUUAUAGAUUUCCACACAAAAGAGAGCGUCACAACACAGUCAAUCCUUACUAAACAAUUUCUAAAUAACAUACUUACAAAUAUCCUCCUUACAAGCAAUAAUAAUGAAUCAAACACCAUACUUACCACAAAUCAGGAACCCCAAAAAUGCUCCCAAAGAUUAAAUAAAAAAUUAGGUACGACAACAUAAGGACUAAAGGUUGAAAUCUCACGAAGAAUUGUUGAGAAAACAAUAGUCUGGCUCAAAAGAAAGAAAGUGGAAACUGAAAAAAACAAAAAGAGAAAAACUAGGGAGAGGAAAACAGUGGACGGCAAUUGAGAGGAAGAGAGAGACAUGAGAAUUCCUCCAAGUUUGACUUUAACUGAAAUUCUAACAACUUGGACAACGCAACAAUAAGAAGCAAAAAUAACUUCUUUUUUGCACACCAUAAGAUUCAAACACGAGACCACAAGUUAAACUAAAGCCUUACCAUUGAACUAGUGACUCAUUCUUCUAACAAUCUAACAAAAAAUAAAGGUAAGCUAGAUGCGAUUAGCUAGAUAUAGGGGUAAAGCAUAUAAAACCUAAGGGAAAUGGUUUAGACAUAGGACCUCAAGCAUAUGACCAAAACACUUAACCACUACACCAAAUCAAAUUACUUGUCACAAUUUCACAAUGUUAUCCCAAAAACAAAACGUGGCCACCAUUGGCUCACCAGCCCAAUUUCUACUAACUCAGUUUUUGGGAUGUGAUAUUGUAUCAAAUGAUCUGCUUAUUUUUUCAAAGGAAGAUUGCUUGCUCUGCUAAAUGAAGUUAGAGAUAAAAAAAUCAUAACCAAGAUCAAAGUAUUGACUCAACAACUAAAGAUGUAUGAUGUAAUAGAGUUGGGGGAUCAUGGAAAAAGGACCAAGUUCUUAAAGGUGAUGGUUCCACAAAAUGCAAUGAUUCGUGUGAUGACACUUUAAAAGGACCUUAGGAUGCACAAAUUGUUGUAUACGUCAGUGUUGCUUGUUCACCUCAUCCAAGAGAAAAGGGAAGCAUCUAGAAGAAAUAAGCUCAAAUUUAACACAGAUGCUGCUUGGAGGCUAGUGGAGUACAAGGAACUGUGUGUGGUUGUGGUACGUGGCUCAAAUAUGCGCAUGGGCUGCAUGGUGAGCACAACUAGGGCCUUUUAUGUUCUUUUGGUCGAGACAUAUGCUAUCAUAGAAGCACUCUCCCUUAUGUGAGAUCAUGGUUUUUGUUGUAUUGUUAUUGAAAGUGAUUGUUAUGCUUUUGUGACUAGACACAAUAGUAGACUUUGGACUUGUUUUUGUAUGGUUGAAUCGAUGAAAAGGCCCAUGGACUUUACUCUUUCUUUUUAAGUGUGUCGAAACCGUUUUUUGAAAACAAAUCUUUUGGUUGUCGACUUUUAAAAACAAAAACUGGAGUCGCCACCGAUCCUUUAUUAAGGUGUGAUCGGCCCACCUUAAAAAUAAAUUUGGUCUGCGAAAUUUGAGAAAACAGGUUCGGGAGUCAGUUACGCACGAGGAAGGAUUAGCACCCUCAUAACGCCCAAAAUUGGUACCAAAUUGAUUUUUGUUAAUGUCUUGAUGUCGAAAAUUUGAAAAGAUUUUAAAAGAAAACUCUUUAUUUCAUGAAUAAAAAAAUAAGACAUUCACAUUUCAAAGAAAUAAAACACCACACCCAGUGAGUUAGGGCACAAUGUUUUUAAAUCUUCAAAAUACCCGAAUAUUGCCUUUUGCUUUUGAAAAUUCUUAUUUCGAGAAGAAAAUGUCAUGACCAGUAAGUUAGGACCCAACAUUUUGAAUUCCCGAGAAUAAGUUUUUUAUUUAAAAUUUGUGAAUUUAUUACAAAACAAAUAUUUGGCUUUCUAAAUUCACCGAAAAAAAUCGCAAUCCAGUAAGUUAGGAUACGAUCUUUCUCGAGAAUCAUGAGUACCAAAUAUUUUGAAAAUUUAUAAAAUGUGAUGAUUUUAAUGCUUUGAUGCAACCAAAAUAUAUAUAUUCUACAAAAAUAUGCUAAAAUGUUAAUGCAUAACAUGAAACCAUUACCUUAAUUUAAAUUAUAUGUACACGUAUUCACAAAAUAAAAUAUGAUAUAUAAGUAAAUUUUAAACAUAUGUAUAUGCAUAUAUGAAAACAUGUAUAUGAAAGUUAUGAAAAUAAAUUAUAAAAUAUGGAUAGGUAUAAAAACAUAUAAGUAAAUUAUAUUAAUAAAUUAUGAAAAUGUGUAUAUAUAUAUAAGAAAAAUGCAAAAAAUAUAUUUAUAACAACUUUGAAUAGUGUGUAUUUAUAUAUUAUAAAAAAUGUAUAUAUAUUUGAAUUAUAAAAUAUGAAAAAAACUAUAUGAAUAUUAUAAAGUAUAAAUAUAGGUACGUAUAUAUAUGUAUAUAAAACUAAGAAGAAUAAAGUAAUAAUAAAAUAUAUAAGAUAUGUAUAUGUAUUUAAAACCAUUUAAAAUAUAUAUUCACAUAUAUAUAUAUAUAUAAUAAGAUACAUAUAUGCAUAUAUAUUUGUAUGGAAAUAAUCGUGAUAAUAAUAAAUGCUAACAAUAAUACAGUAAUAAUAACACAAUUUAACAGUAUUUCACAAAAAUAUAUAUAAAAAAAAUGAUAAGUUAAGGAUUAAUUUGAAAAUAAACAGAGUUUAAAGGUUAAAUUUAAAAAUAGAAAACGAGAAAGGGAGCAAUUCCAGACACGCGCAAUAGGAAGAGGACCGAAAGGGAAAUUUACGCAAACUGCCCAAAACGCUGCACAUCAUUUGGAUCAAUUUGAAACAGAAAUAAAACAUAUUGCGAAAUUUAAAAGAAAUAAAAAAAUGAUUUUAAAAAACUGUAAAAACAAGGGGAUCAAUUGUGUAAAUGGCCCAUUUUAAACCCUAUAAAAUCCCAUUUUAAAACCCUAAAAUCAUUUCCCUUUUCAGCAACAGCAGCCACCACAAGGACUGCUUUCUCCCCCUCUCUGCCGUUUCAACUCCACCUCCAAUCGGCCAUAACAACGAUGGCGCCUCGACGGCGCGCUGCCGCCGAUAAGAUCUUUUCCCCUUCUUCUUUGUUUCGUUUUUGUUUUAAGAACAAGAAGAAAAAAAAACAAGACAGUAAAAAGAAAAACGGAACCCACUGAUUACCUUCAAAAUUCUUUUUCUUUUUCUUCUUUCAAAUAUCCCUCUAUACAAUAUUUCGCCCCCCCAUUUACAGAUUUUCGACCGGUUUAUAUAACCGAAAUAAAGAAAAAAUAAAAUCCAAACAAAAUCAUUAUUUCCUAUUAUUGUUGCGCUGUUAUUUUUGCUAUUUCCUUCUUUCUCGUUGUUGUUUAGUUGAUGUUUGUUGCUGCAGAUGUGUGCGCGACGUGCGCAGGGGAGAGUCAUGCUGCGACAUUCGCGGCGGCGAGGGUGAGGCUGCUGUUGGGAUGUGCGGCUAAGGUUGGAGGCUACUAGGGUUUUUUUUUUGUGUGUGUGUGUUUUAGGCUAAUGGGUUGGGUCUAUUGAAAGGUAUUGGGCUGAAUUUUGGGUUUAGGUUGUAAAUGGUAAUUGGGCCUGCUGUGUUUUUAUUUUGUAUGGGCUCGGGCAGAAAGAAAUUGGGUAUUACAGCUGCCCCUCUUUACUCGUUGUCGUGUAACGGGAACAGAGCAAAGACUAAAAUACCCAAUUAUGCCCGGUUUUACUAAGCCUCGACUUCUUCAGGGCUUCUUUUAUUCAAGUAGCAUCAUUCCUUCCUACUGCAUCUUCAGAGGUACAGGAAACAGUGCUUUGAUCCACUCUACUGCAACGUCAGGGAGAUAGGAUUCGUACCUUGUGGCUUCUCAAAAGAACAAAAUUUGCCAUCUUUAAUCUACUCCACUGUAACUUCAGGGAGAUAAGACUUAUAGCUUCAACUUAUUCUGCUACAACCAAAAGAUAAAUCUUAACGCGAUUUGCUCUACUGCAACUUUAGAGAGACGAGAUCUGAUUUUAAUCCACUCCAUUCCAUCUUCAAGGAAAUAAGAUUGGUUGCUUCUGUCUGCUCCACUGCAACUUCAGGGAGAUAAGACUUAUAACUUCAAUCUACUUCGCCACCAGUAUGGGAAGACAAGAUCUGCUUUCUUCAAUCUACUCCACCACCAGUAUGGGGAGGCAAUAUCUGUUGUAUUUGAUCUACUUCACGCUGAUACAUGAAGACAAGAUUUGUUUUCUUCGAUCUGCUUCGCCACCAAUAUGGGAAGACAAGAUCUGGUAUCUUUGAUCUACUUCACGCCAGUACAUGAAGACAAGAUCUGCUUUCUUCGAUCUGCUUCGCCGCCAGUAUGGGAAGGCAAGAUCUGCUAUCUUUGAUCUACUUCACGCCAGUACAUGAAGACAAGAUCUAUUUUCUUCGAUCUACUUCGCCACCAGUAUGGGAAGACAAAAUCUUCUAUCUUUGAUCUACUUCACGCCAGUACAUGAAGACAAGAUCUGUUUUUUCGAUCUACUUCGCCACCAGUAUGGGAAGACAAGAUCUGGUAUCUUUGAUCUACUUUACGCCAGUACAUGAAGACAAGAUCUGCUUUUCUUUUCAGCCUGCUCCGUUGUUGCUCAGGGAGAUAAGGCUUUAUGAUUUCACCGAUUUGUUCUCUGGGGAACAUGACCUGUAUAAUUCACUUUAUGAACCUAAUUAUGCCUAGUUAUUAGGAUGUCAUGAUCAUAAUAAAUCCAAUGCUCCUAACUAGACAUGUAUGAAUGACAUUUGAAUGAAUGCAGAAUGUCAUGAAAAUGAUAUUUUAACGCUUGAGUUAUUAUUACUCCAAGUUUAUUAAUGUCCUAUCGCUUAAUGCACUAUAACGCCUUUAUGCUCAGUUGGCGAACCUAAUAAGCACUUAACCAGAUUGCCCCCCACUGUAAACCUCCAAGUUUGAUCCACUGGGAUGCAAAAUUUGUACCAUCUUUUCCCGUUGUAACCCAAGAGUAAAAGAUUUGGCCUUUUCUCAAUCCUCUAUUAUCACAAUUCAAGGAUACAUGAUAUGAAACUUUUUGGUCUUUUACACCAUUCCCAGGGUGAUGCACCAAAUGCUCAUGCAUAAAUGAAGAAAUCUUCUCCAAGAACAACUUCUUCUUAUUAUUCGGUGAUCAUUGCUUGCUUGUUCAUUGAAGCUUUGUCACCAACACGACAUCUUACCGUAUUGUUCAAUCGAUGUUUUAGACAGCAAAAACUCAAAGGGAUAGUCUGAAUUUAGACUUUUCCUUAUUAGAUUUCCAACCUGGUGCGUUCUAAACAAUAGUCCUGUUUGAGGUUCCUAUAUUAUUUAGAAGCUUUUAGAGUAAUAUGCAAAACUUCCAUUGUGAAAAUUUUAUUAGUCUAUUAAUCAUUAUUCUAAUGCCACAUACUUGCAAAAAGAUCAUGGAUAAGAAUAGAGUUGGCUCUGAGCAUAGCUCGAAAUGAAUAAAUUAUCAAGGAUAAUAAAAAUGGAUAACAAAGAAAUUGAUUUAGGAAUGCGUGUCUUGGCAAUGAAUGAAGUGUUCCAAGAAUAGCAAAAGUGGUAUAAAGAUUAGGUGCCCCAGACAUCGCAGCUUGAACUACUCUGUACAAACUUUCUGAAGACGAUUUUGAGCUUAACAUGUGUUUAGGAGAUCUAUCAUACUCUAUCGAUGCCCCAAGAUGUCGCAUACCCUUUCCUGCUGAUUCUGGUAUAGCAAGACCACUGUAUAUCCCAUUCUGAUCAGUAUUUGAGCUGCUCUGAUUACUUCAUGCCCCAUUCUGAUCAACAUUUGAGCCGCCCUUUUUCGGGUUUUCAACUCAAAUCCGCUUUGGUCUAAGGCGCCCUUUGCGAGUUUUCACUUUAGCCUCUCUUUUUUUUUACCUCAAGGCUCCCUUUGUAGGGUUUCACCCUGGUCUCUUUUUUUUGACUCAAAGCGCCCUUUGUAGGCUUUCACCUUGGUCCCACAUUUUUUAAGCAGAGUAUUUCCUAACUGAAUCUGAGUUUACAGGACUUUGUAAAUUUUUACCAUCCAUCUCACUCAAGAUCAAAGCUUCUCCAGAAAAGGCUUUCUUUAUAACAUAUGGACCCUUCUAAUUUGGCCUCUAUCUUCCUCUAAAAUCCUUUUGUAUAGGAAGGAUCUUUUUCAACACUAGUUCCCUCUUGUGAAAUUCUUUGGGACGAACCUUCGGGUCUUCCUCUUAGGAUAAAAUGUAGAGAAAUGACAAUUCGACUUCAAUGAGUAAAGCUAUGAUAAGCCAAAGAGGAGGAUAUUGCCCCAGUAAAGAAAGUUUACUGCAUCGUUCAUAGCAUCGAUGUUGAACCUACUGCCCAUUUAUGACAUCAUGCUGUUAUUCAGAUUACAAGCUAGUGCUUAACCCGAGCAUAUCUGGGUAUGACCAUGUGAAGACAUCAUUGAAUUCUUGGGGUAGCUCUAUAAGGUCCCACCUCGUCUUUGUGAUCAUGUCAAUUCACCAAGCUCAUAAUUUCUAAUAAUUCAUCGUGAUGUAGGAUCUGUCUAUCCUCUUAUUCUAUCACCCUCCUCAAGUCUGGAGAUAAGCUACAAUCUAUGUCAUCUUCAAAGUCAUGAGAUCCCUCUAAACACAUGUCUCACUCAAAAAGAAAUUUUGAGUCUCUAGCAGCGUCACUCAUGACAUUGAUAUCUGGGGACCCAUAGUAGGUAUCCGAGAAUAUACAAAAGAAUGUACGAAUAAUAUGAAUGAAUGGUUUGGCAGAAAAAAAAUCCAAAAAAAAUGAAAAAAAUGUAAAGAAUGAAAGAAAAUUUGCUCAAAGAUGAUUGAAAUAAUGUAUUUCAUUAAAAUAAUAAUGUUCAGACGUGAGCCUAUUUCACAAAGAAAACCUUAUUGCUUCUAGGCUGAAAGUAACAAGUGUGUUCUGAACAUUACUCUAACAGACUCUAAAUACUUUAGGGGUUUCCUCCGCAGUCUCAUUAUUUAGAACACCUCUAAGGCAAAUAUCUAACAAGGACCCUUUAAAUUGUGUCUGCAUAUAUGGCAUCGAUGUGCAAAUUUCUCACCACUUCUUCAUACAUUGCAGUCCCUCCAUCCUCAAUCAUGAUUGGGUAGCAGAUUUCCUGCGCUAGACGAGUCACCAAACUUGACAAUACCCAUGUUGAUAAGUCUUUCAACUUGCUUCUUGAAGGUAGUGCAAUUCUCAAUCGAGUGUCCCGUAACCCCAGCAUGGUAUUCACAUUAUGUGUUCGCAUUAUACCAUUCGGGAUACGGAGGUUGUAGAGGCUUCACAUGAAAAGGGGAAACAACAUGUGCAUCAAACAAAUUUUGAUACAGUUUCUUAUACGGUACUGGGAUUGGUGUAAACUGAAACUUCUCAGUCUUCAUGCCGGAAUCUUGCCUCGAUGAAUUCUGUUGAUUACCAACCACCUUUCUUGGCUGACUCACGGUAACUAAUUUAGAGUAACCUGUGUUGUUCACCUCAUUUUCUCUUCUAUUUGAGACUGACCUCUUGUUACUCUCCUUUGUAUCAAUUUUCCCACUUCUUAUAGCAUUUUCGAUCAUUUCACCAUUCAUGACUAUGUCAGAAAAGCUUUUUGUAGCACUUCCUAACAUAUGUGUAAUGAAUGGAGAUUUCAGCGUAUUGACAAAGAGCAUUGUUGUUUCUCUCUCUAAGAGCGGUGGUUGAACUUGGACUGCGACCUCCCUCCACCUUUGUGCAUACUGCCUGAAACUUUCGUUCGGCUUCUUCUCCAUAUUUUGAAGGGUGAUUCUGUCAAGAACCAUGUCUGUCACUUGACUAUACUAUUUCAUGAACGCUUGUGCCAAGUCCCUCCAUGAACCAAUUGUGGUACGGCUCAGCUAAUUGUACCAUUUAGAUGCUGCCCCUGAAAGGCUAUCCUGGAAACAAUGUAUCAAUAGCUGGUCAUUGUUAACGUAUCUAGCCAUUCGCCUGCAGAACAUGGUGGUAUGAGCUUCUGGGCAAGUUGUCCCAUUGUACUUCUCGAAUUCAGGCAUCUUAAACUUAUGAGGGAGAAUUAGAUCUGGCACUAAACUUAGCUCUUUUGCGUCAAUGCCUCGAUAACUUUCAGUAACUUCCAUUGCCUUGAACUUCUCUUCGAGCCACCUGCAUUUUUCUUCCAACUGUUUCGGUAACUCUUCCUUCAUUCUUUCCUUUUCAACCACUUCAUCAAAGUCAGGAAUGGAAGAGUUAAUAGGAUUAUUUUCAAGAUUAAAACCCGGCCCAAUUUGGGGGUUCAAAAUACUAGCUCGAAAUUGCUGAGGCAUGAUAGUGACAGUAGAUUUGCGCGGGUAUUCAGCUUGAGUUUGCUCAUGUGGAGGGGUGAAACCUGGAGGAUAGAAAAGUUCAUCAUUAUUUCCCUCAUCGACAUCCGCCAUGGGGCCCUUUCCUUUGUCACUUCCCUUAGUUAUCAGUCGGGUUAACUUUGCCACUAUAUCCUCUUGAGAUUCCCGCAUCUUCUCAGACAUCUCUUGUUUCAUUUUGUCUAACCGCUCCUGCAUUUGUAGCUGAAGUCGGUCUUGCAUCUCUUUCUGGUACUGUUCGAGCUUCUCUAAUCUCUGAUCCAUAUCUUUUGUCUUUGCUCGAGUGCCGUAUCGGUGUCGGGUUGGUUGGUUGGUUUCCAGGUUAACUGAGCAAUAAUUUUAAUUAAUUAGGAUCGAUUAAAGGUUUUUAAUGCAUAUGAUGCGAUGCAUGAGAUGAAUGCAUAAAGAGACGUUAAUUCUGAUUCAAUUCCAUUUAGAAAACUUUAAUAGAGGACAAAUUUCUUUACAUGAAGCGGAUAUAUAUACGGCUUUGCCCUCAUACUCCAAGCAAAGACAUCUUCUUCUUCUUCAUCCGGAUGUUAAGAUAAACCUCGCGAACUUCCAAAGGAUGUCACUGCUAGCUCCUUCUGCUUGAUUCUGGUCGCAAUCCGUUGUCUGCCUAUCCUCGUAAUGCUCAUUAGCUUCUUUAAUAAAUUUGGAAUGUUGAAAGCUCUUAGACAAUCAUCUUGAAUCCUUGGGCCCCAAAGUAAAGUCACGAAUUCUUCCAAUGCCCUUCUUGUAUUUGUUGGAAUAUAUUCAGGCUGCCGUACUAUUUUCCAUUUUAUCAAGAAACCCGUUUUCUUAUGAUAGGCUUUCUAAAUUAGUAAUCAAACUUGAAUCAACAUCUCUUUUCUACAAUGCAAAUGCAAUGCAAUCAUAACCAAAACAAAACAAAACGGGUUAGUAUCGGGUAUAAACAUUAAAUCCAAUACAAUCAAGAAAUAAUAAAAACUCCUAGUCAGGUAUCUACUAAGGUUUAGAGUAAUUCUACCUAGGGUAAGUUCCUAAGGUUCACUAUAUGCGGUUUAGUUUCUAGAGUAAGGGUACCCGAACCAGCAGAUUCCUCGAUCUUCACCCAUUAUAGGCUCAUGUGGAUCGAGUUCAGUUCAGGGGGAUACAUUUCCCUAUGGCUGCACGGAGAUGAAAAUCUCACGAAGACAUAGGUACGGAUGUAUCCCGGAAGCGGUCCAUUACCUUGCACAGAGGUGAAAACCUUACGAAGGACUAGUUUCUCGUUCCCACUUAAGGGUGAAACGCAAAAUGCAAAUGCAAAGUUGUCAACUUUCAAGAUGAAAAAUCAAUGAAUGCGAAGGGAACUCAUGAAUUUUUAAAACUUUGAUUUUUGACACAAAGACAAACAUAAUCAAUUUUAUGGCUCGACUCUCUAAUGUCCCCAGCGGAGUCGCCAAGCUGUCGAAACCGUUUUUUGAAAACAAAUCUUUUGGUUGUCGACUUUUAAAAACAAAAACUGGAGUCGCCACCGAUCCUUUAUUAAGGUGUGAUCGGCCCACCUUAAAAAUAAAUUUGGUCUGCGAAAUUUGAGAAAACAGGUUCGGGAGUCAGUUACGCACGAGGAAGGAUUAGCACCCUCAUAACGCCUAAAAUUGGUACCAAAUUGAUUUUUGUUAAUGUCUUGAUGUCGAAAAUUUGAAAAGAUUUUAAAAGAAAACUCUUUAUUUCAUGAAUAAAAAAAAAUAAGACAUUCACAUUUCAAAGAAAUAAAACACCACACCCAGUGAGUUAGGGCACAAUGUUUUUAAAUCUUCAAAAUACCCGAAUAUUGCCUUUUGCUUUUGAAAAUUCUUAUUUCGAGAAGAAAAUGUCAUGACCAGUAAGUUAGGACCCAACAUUUUGAAUUCCCGAGAAUAAGUUUUUUAUUUAAAAUUUGCGAAUUUAUUGCAAAACAAAUAUUUGGCUUUCUAAAUUCACCGAAAAAAAAUCGCAAUCCAGUAAGUUAGGAUACGAUCUUUCUCGAGAAUCAUGAGUACCAAAUAUUUUGAAAAUUUAUAAAAUGUGAUGAUUUUAAUGCUUUGACGCGACCAAAAUAUAUAUAUUCUAAAAAAAUAUGCUAAAAUGUUAAUGCAUAACAUGAAACCAUUACCUUAAUUUAAAUUAUAUGUACACGUAUUCACAAAAUAAAAUAUGAUAUAUAAGUAAAUUUUAAAGAUAUGUAUAUGCAUAUAUGAAAACAUGUAUAUGAAAGUUAUGAAAAUAAAUUAUAAAAUAUGGAUAGGUAUAAAAACAUAUAAGUAAAUUAUAUUAAUAAAUUAUGAAAAUGUGUAUAUAUAUAUAUAAGAAAAAUGCAAAAAAUAUAUUUAUAACAACUUUGAAUAGUGUGUAUUUAUAUAUUAUAAAAAAAUGUAUAUAUAUUUGAAUUAUAAAAUAUGAAAAAAAAAACUAUAUGAAUAUUAUAAAGUAUAAAUAUAGGUACGUAUAUAUAUGUAUAUAAAACUAAGAAGAAUAAAGUAAUAAUAAAAUAUAUAAGAUAUGUAUAUGUAUUUAAAACCAUUUAAAAUAUAUAUUCAUAUAUAUAUAUAAUAAGAUACAUAUAUGCAUAUAUAUUUGUAUGGAAAUAAUCGUGAUAAUAAUAAAUGCUAACAAUAAUACAGUAAUAAUAACACAAUUUAACAGUAUUUCACAAAAAUAUAUAUAUAAAAAAAUGAUAAGUUAAGGAUUAAUUUGAAAAUAAAUAGAGUUUAAAGGUUAAAUUUAAAAAUAGAAAACGAGAAAGGGAGCAAUUCCAGACACGCGCAAUAGGAAGAGGACCGAAAGGGAAAUUUACGCAAACUGCCCAAAACGCUGCACAUCAUUUGGAUCAAUUUGAAACAGAAAUAAAACAUAUUGCGAAAUUUAAAAGAAAUAAAAAAAUGAUUUUAAAAAAACUGUAAAAACAAGGGGACCAAUUGUGUAAAUGGCCCAUUUUAAACCCUAUAAAAUCCCAUUUUAAAACCCUAAAAUCAUUUCCCUUUUCAGCAACAGCAGCCACCACAAGGACUGCUUUCUCCCCCUCUCUGCCGUUUCAACUCCACCUCCAAUCGGCCAUAACAACGAUGGCGCCUCGACGGCGCGCUGCCGCCGGUAAGAGCUUUUCCCCUUCUUCUUUGUUUCGUUUUUGUUUUAAGAACAAGAAGAAAAAAAAACAAGACAGUAAAAAGAAAAACGAAACCCACUGAUUACCUUCAAAAUUCUUUUUCUUUUUCUUCUUUCAAAUAUCCCUCUAUACAGUAUUUCGCCCCCCCCAUUUACAGAUUUUCGACCGGUUUAUAUAACCGAAAUAAAGAAAAAAUAAAAUCCAAACAAAAUCAUUAUUUCCUAUUAUUGUUGCGCUGUUAUUUUUGCUAUUUCCUUCUUUCUCGUUGUUGUUUAGUUGAUGUUUGUUGCUGCAGAUGUGUGCGCGACGUGCGCAGGGGAGAGUCAUGCUGCGACAUUCGCGGCGGCGAGGGUGAGGCUGCUGUUGGGAUGUGCGGCUAAGGCUGGAGGCUACUAGGGUUUUUUUUGUGUGUGUGUGUUUUAGGCUAAUGGGUUGGGUCUAUUGAAAGGUAUUGGGCUGAAUUUUGGGUUUAGGUUGUAAAUGGUAAUUGGGCCUGCUGUGUUUUUAUUUUGUAUGGGCCCGGGCAGAAAGAAAUUGGGUAUUACAAAGUGGUUUGUUUUCGAUACAUUCAUAGGUCAGCCAAUGGGAUAGUACACAUGCUUGCCUAUUGGUCUUUUCGGGAGGAUUUUUUUUUUUUUUGGUUUAAACCAUCCGAAUGUCAUUCACCAAAUUGUGUUAGAUGAUGCUAUGAAUUUUUAUGUUUGGAUUUUGAUUAAAAAAGUUUAUAUUCUUGUUUGGAUUUAAAAUUUUCAAUCAAUUUUAAUUUGGCAUGAUGCCAAAAAUAUCCCCUAAUGUUUACAUCAUUAAUCACUUUAGUUCUUUUUUUUUUAAACAUUUUAACUCUCAUUCUUUCAAUUUUGGUCAAACUCUCAUUCUUUCAAUUUUGGUCAAACUGAUAAUUUUUUUAACAAAAUUGCUGACGUGGUUGUUAGUUGAUUAACGGUUGACAUGAUGAUGCGUCGUCGAGAGCACAAAAAAUAUUCUAUCCCUAUAAAAUAAUGAAAAGAAUAGUAUAAGGGAAGUAGAGUCAAACCCUCAGGGACUGGAUUUGCACAAGUUCCUGUUUCUUGAGAUCUUGGGCAGAGUCGUGCCCAAGAAAAACAACAUACCUGGAAAAAAAAUAAAAAAAUAAAAAAAUAAAAUUAAAAGUUUGGUUGAAUUGAGAUUACGUAAAUUGAAAUUAAAAUUGUAAAAAUAAACAGAGUUGAGAAAAUAGAGUUUUUUAUGUAAAGAUUUCAGCCUCUGGUUAUCUCGAUCCUCAUUGGGUUCAGUCCUUGGCUUUUAGAUGAUCAUUCUCAAACAGAAUAAGCCAGUUAUAGUGGAAGAGGACACCUAUGACCACCAACUCCACUUAGAUUUUAGACUUACGAUUUAGAAGAACCUGACUCUAGCCAACCGUCGCUUUUGUGGGAUUGUCUUACACUAGAUCAUCACCUCUCAAUGGCGAAUGCCACGCCAUUUUGUCUCUUGGGCUCGACAACUACUGACACAGUAAGCUAUCCAACCGACUGUGCAACCUUUCCAAAACAUACAAAGCGGCCGCCUUUGCACAAGAUGAAAAGAUCACUUUUGAAGGGACAUGGACGGAAGCGUCAAUCCCGUAGUACGGGGAAACCAUGAAUAUUUGUUGAGAAGACUAAGUACAGAUUCUAAGCCUCGUGAACCCUUUUUGGGGAAUCUCGACGACCUUUGGCUAGAUGAAUUUAGUGGCUUAUGCUUUUUGGGGAAAAAGAAAUAAACUUAAUAAAAAUGGAAUUUUAUUGAAUAAAUGAAAGGAACAAAAGCUAGAACUUUUUAGGAGAGGUAGCUUUUACAGAAAAGAUGAGUCAAAUUUGUAUCACUCCAUCCCCUAUUUAUAGUACUUAGAAAACUUAGUUUAUUACUAUCUAAAUUCUAAAAGAUAAAUAAAGAUAAAAGCUGAAAUUAAAUCUAAAUAAUAAUUUUAACAAUAAUCCUAAUAUAAUUAAAAUUUAAAUAGAGUCUUGUGUUUAUAAAAUCUCUUCUUUGAACUUUUACCCCAAGUCUUCCACACUUUGUAUUUUUGGCACCACUUCUUUCCUAUUUCACAUGCUGGCCCAUUUUAUCUUCAAAUUCAUGUUUUUUCCCCCUAAAUUCCCUUUUGCCUUCAAUUUAGUCCCUACAAGAUAAAAAAUCAUAAAUAGCUCAAAUUAGUAGGAUCAUACUCAAAAUAAAUAUGUAAUUAAUACAUAAAAAUGUCAUUCCAGAGUAUUAUCACAUGGUGAUCACAUAUGUUGUUUACUGAUGUGUCGCUAUUUUAUCUUAUAUGUCAUAGCAGCAAAACAAUUAAAAAUUCAAAAAUAAUUAAGAAAAAAAAUAAAUGUUUUUUAAAAUUAAUUUAUAUUGUUUUUCAGUUUUUGAACCAUAGUACCACCAUCAAAACUUCCUUUUUUUUUCUUUUAAUUGUAACUUUCUUUAAUUUUCAUUAAUGUUCUAAUUAAAUACAACCAAAACUUGUUUUUUUUUUCUUCUCCCUUCUCUUUCCCUUCAUAUUUUUCUUUGUUCUGAAGCGACCCAGAAACAGCAGUCACAAAAACUUGUUUCGGAUCGUCGCGCCAUUGCCACCAGCAGUGGUCAGGAGUCAGGUUCUCCAAAAAUUGCCCUGAAUUACAUAAAUAUGUGCAUGAACGUUCGAACUUCUCCUUGCCGGAUCUCAAAAUCCGACCGUCAGAAUACUUAGAUUCUAAGGUUUCAAGCACAACAUAAAUACUGUGACUAGUAAUUUGAGUAAGGAAUACACAAACGGCACAACCAAAAAAAUGCAAGACUUAGCCCCAACUGAAUUGAUGAAACUCUGAUUGCUUCAAUGGUCCAUACAUCUAGCAUUAGCCAAGCACACCGUGAUUAAGUUUUUUAAUUUAGUUUUGAUUUUUUUUUAAAAUUUUUGAAAAUAAUAAAAUGAUAUAUUGUAGGAUUUUUGAGACCGCAAAAAAUAAAUUCCUACUCAAAUGCAAAUUUGCAAACAACAAUGAUAAAGGUUGAAUUCACAUUUUGGUGAUUCUAUUUCUUCAAUAAAAAAAAAUAAAGAUGAUGGGGGAUUUUUAUAAAACUAAAAUUUAAACUAGAACUAAAGAAAAUUAAAUUUCAAACUAAAUAGAAAAACAAUAAAGUUGAGGGAAAAUCAAUAACGUGAAACUUUGGUCAAAAUGUAAAAUUUCCGUUCGAUUCAUGAGUUUGAUCAUUGAAAAAAAAGAUGAUUUUCAGUGUGCUUUAAUAAAUUGAUUAUAGUUCCCGAUGAUCGCCUAACAACCAAUUUAUUCUCACAUUCUCGAUAAUUAAGACAAUCGCAAUUAAUUAAUUCCCUUAUCGAUAAACAAUGACAUAAGGACCACUUUGGAUUUAAUCUAUCAAUUGCAUUAAGAAUGAAAGAGAUCCAAUUCUAAUAAACAAACAUACAAUCAUAGUUUAUUUAAGUUAGAUCGAUGUCCACACAACAUAGAAUGCAUAUUUUUGUCAUACCCCCUAUGUUGCUUAGUAUUCAAUUACUAAUUUAACAAUUCUAAUUGACAAGAAAAAUAUUCUAAGCAAUUGAAUACAUGUCAUAUAUUCAACAAACCUAAAUAUUUACAAUUAAAUUAUAAGACAUGCGAAUACUAAAGAACAAAGAAAGAUGAAGAACAUUUUAGAUGUGAAAAAUUUAGCAAUUCAUGGAGAAAAUAAAACACAAAUAAAAAUAAUGUUAAGGUGGCUAUGUCUAGGUAUGUCGGUCUAACCUAAUAAUGUCUAUUUAUAGAGCAAAAUCACAUAAUGAAAAAAAAGUUGUCAUUAAUUAAUUAAAGUAGGAAUUUUCUAGGUUUAUUGACAAUUUUUGUGUCAAAAUUUCAGGCCAAUUUUAGACACCUUCCCAACGUUUUUUGGGCUUGAGUUGAGAUAACUUUUGUUAGAUAUUUUGAUUCCCUUUGAACCAGUAUAUUAAGGGCUCAAGACAAAGUUAUGUAGGUGAAGUUAUGAUCAAAAUUCUGAAGCACUGUUGUAUUGAAAGUCCAAUUUAUAAAAACUUGUCAAAGAUAAAUUUAGUUCUUUUUUUAUUCAAUUAUUCUCUAAAUCCAUAAUAAAUAAAACAUAAUUCUUAAUAAUAUAAUCAAUGAUUUAAAUAGCAUAAUUCAAUAAAAAAAAUAUCAUCAAUAAUUGAAAAAUUAUACGCUUAUCAAAUUCUCCUAUACUUAGAAGUAUGAAACUAAUGAAAAUGCAUAUGCAUAUGCAUAUGCAACCUAAAGAAAUAUUUAUAACUCAAAUAAACAAUUAACAAUAUUAUUAUAUUCCAAUGGAACAAGCAAAUAUGUUUCCAUGAACACAAUUGAAAUUCUAUAUUCUAAUAAAAAAAAUAUAAGAGUAUCAAUAAUUUAUAGAAGGAUUUGAAUCAAUAAAUCUUUGUGCUUGUGUGUGAUUAUCCUUCCUAACAAUGUACGAUGUAUAAGAAAUACUAGAAUAAUCAAGAAAACAUAAUCAAAUUUUAACAUGCUUCCUGGGUUACUUAGGACUUUAAAGGUUAAGGUCAAAUAUUAAAGAAAAAUUAGGCUCAUACCCUAAGCACCUAGUUAUCUUUGGAUUCAAUUGAGCAUUAAAUAGCAAAAUCCUUUUUCAACAACUCUUCACUCAAUACCCUUAAACAAGCAUGAGAUAAAAGUGAAGCUCACAAUAUUUAAGAAUCUACACGAUUAAGCAUUUAUAUUUUUUUCUUUCAUUACUUAAUAGUUAUUCACUUCUUUAAAUUUAGGACAAUUACUUUUGAAUGUAACUGUAGAUGACAAUCCAAGCACCUACCUCGAAUUACUUAAUUAAUUACACUUAAAUAGCUUUUAGCUUUAAUCAUAACUACAUUAGUGGACAUACAGACAAGCACCAAACCUUUUAACUUGAAAAUAAAUGACAACCCAAGACCUACCUCUAAUUACACAAUUUAGCUACUAAUUCUUUUUAAAUCUUGUGAUGUGGCUAUCAGAAUAAUCAUACUCAUGCUUUUAUUACCAAAGGUAUUCAAUGAAGCACAAACAUGAAUCCUUUUAAUUCAAUACUAUAAGCUCAAAAUUAAAUCUAUAAGUACUAAAUACUUAAAAAAGCAUCAAAACAAUGGUACACACUUUCAAGGGUAAAUGUUAAAAUUUAAGCAAUUAGGCACAUGAGUUAAGUUAAAGAAACAGAAUGAUAUAUUAGCUCAACAAAUAGGCUCAACAGUUCAAAUAAUGAAAAAAAUUUGCCUAAUUUAUCCAUUAUAAGCAUGUACCAAACAAGAUUGUUUUCUUGAAAAUUUCAAAACUGAUUAUAUAAAGCACAUCAUUAAGCAGGACUACGUAAAUUAAAAAAUAUGUAUCAAUGAAACCAUAUGAAAAAUUCAUUAUUCUAACAAUCAACCGAAUGGCAUAAAUCAAUGUGCAUAACUAUAUCAUGAAUCAAUAUAGAUCUUGAAAAUAUUCAUUAUAAUAAAUUCACAAAUUUCACGAGCAUAUAUAAAAUAUUUUAAUAUCCCACAAAGUUAAGAAUUCAAUGUAACUAUUAUACAUCAUGCAAAAAUUGAAAAAAAAUGAAAUAAAACAUGCAGCAAUAAAAUAAAAUAAUGACCUAAAAAUAAUGCAAACUAAAUGACUCUCCCACACUUAGGUUUAGUUUGGAUGGGUGGUGUAUUUACCUUUGUUAAGGUUAAAAAUAAUGGUGGUAGUGAAAUUAAUUACUGUAGCGAUAAGAUUGGAUACUAUAGCGGAAAGUUAUAAACAAAUGUGGGGUGUGUGUUAGGAUUCAAACCCAAUCGUAGUAGUGAGGUAAAAAUAAAAAAUAACUAUUAAGGACAUUAGAUUAAAAAUAAUAUAUUAUAGAAGUUUUUUAAUUCAAUCGUAGUGAUAAAAAUAAAGUGAAAGUAUAAAAUAAUCAUUAAAAACAUUGGAUUAAAAUAAGUAUACUUUUAAUAAAAAUUCAAAAUGAUUGGAAUUAUAUUUAUAUUAAAUAAUAUAUUAUAAAUUAAAAUUAUUAAAAUUGUAUUUAUAUUAAGAAAUUGUUAAAAAGACUAGUGAAAAGGCAUAUGCUCUAAGAUUCUAUGUCACUGAUGAUAGUUGUAAAUCCAAACGGAUCCUUACAUUGUACUCAUUGUUCCAAAAGUAAGCAAAGACUUAGGACACUUCCCUAUUUAAAUGCUAAAAAAAAUAUCAUUUAUCCCAAAUUCGUUCUAUUAAGUGAGAUAGUAGCUACGAUAAAAAAAAAGAAAAUAAAAGAAACAAAAAAAAAAACUAAAAAAAAAAAACUCAACCAAGUGUAGUCCAAGAAUUAAUAUAAUUAUCGCAUCCAUCUUCCUUUCUGUAUGUUCAAUAAGUAAGUCCAACAACAACAACAACAAGGAUUUAACGAAAAUAAAAACCAAAUAACAAAUUUUUGAAGUUGCUCACUUGAUCUACUGUUGCAACUUUUCUAUUCUUUCUCUUGAUUUCAAAGAAAAAUAGAAAAAAAAACAACAACUAAGGCUAAUAAAAUGGCUUUUAGGAGGUCAGAUUUAAGGUUAUAAUAUUAAGUAUAAAUAUUCAAAAUACCUUUAAGCCUGAGUUUGGACAUUCACUCCACAAAAACAUAGAAAAAACUUGAGCGGGGAUUGUCUCCGUGCGCGCCAGGGCUUGACAAGAGCGCUGCAGUACUGAUGGAAUGCGGCAUGGGGGCAAGAUGUGAGUGCUGGAGCGCCAAAACGCGCGGGAGCGUGUGAAUUCCGUGCGCUGGGGCGCGCUAACUUUCUGGGCAAGGGUCGAGUGUAGUGGGGGGGUAGGGAGAUUUUCAGUACUAAUUUCAGAAAUUGUAACUGAAUAUAUUACAAUUUCGCAAAAGAGUUACUUUGAUUUAAUUCAAGUAAUUUUUUCGUAAAUAUAAUAAUCUUAUUUCAAAUUCACGUAAAUAUAAUAAUCUUAUUUCAAAUUAGUUAAAUAAAUUCAGAAUUAGUUUUUAUUUUAUAUUCAAAUUGAGUAUUUUUGUUUAUUUUUAAAUUAGAAAAAUAAAAAUUUAGGGAGGAUCAUCCUUGCAAAUAAAAGAUGCAGCUGACUAUUCUAUGAUAAAAGCAUAGACUUGUUUGUAUUCAAUCUCUUUUUCUGAAUGAUAAAUUGGGUAAUGAUUAUUUUAAUCAAUUAAGUAUAUAACUAAAUGAAUUACAUAAGUGUUGAUAUAGUGAUUAUGUAUAUAGGAUAAACACAAAUUUAAAUUUUGAAGACAAUAUUAUUAACAACAGCAAUUACCAACUUUAAACAUAAACCUUAAAAAAACAAAGUUGGCUGUUGGUAGAGGCAUUGAAGUCCAAGUUAAAAGCCAUUGCAUGGAGUAGAAAAACACUAACAAAGUGGAGCAUUUACAUGCUAUAGUAGCCUAAAUCAAAAUUUACAUGUCAUAGCCCUAGAAUUUUUCAAACAAAGUUAAAACAUUUAUCAAUUAUUCGUAUUACCUAAUGGAAGAAUAUUUGAUAUAUUGGUAGUACAUAAGUCUCAUGUAUUAUUGGUGAAUAAUAAUAUGGCACCUUAUCAUUAAAUAAAAUAAAAAAUAGUGGAGGACUUAUAAAUAAAUACUAAUAACUUUAUUUAAACAUAAUUAAUUAUAAGUAAAUAUUAAAAACCCUAAAUCCUAAAUUCGAGAUCCUACCCCCUAAUUCCCAUACUUUAAACACUUAAAUUCAAUAUCCUAAAUUCGAGAUGUUAUUAAUAUUUAUUUAUAAUAAUUAUGUUUAAAUAAAAUUACUAGCAUUUGUUUAUAGGUCCUCUAUAUUUUUUCAUUUAAUUCAAUGAUAAUGUAUCAUAUUAUUAUUUAUUGUUGGUGCUUAAGACUUAUACAUCGACGAUAUAUCUAAUGUUAUUUCUUAGAUAAUUUUGUAAAUGACAAUUGUCACUUCUUUUAGUAAUUUGUUUUAUGGUUGAAAAAUAAAAUUCAUUAAUAAAAUUUAAAAAGAAAGUAAGUAGAAUCGAUACCAGAGGAUCAACAAAAAAGAAAAAAAAAACCCACAAAUUGAUAGGAACCACACUUAAUAGAAAAACUAGAAACAUAAGGCUGCAGUAUAAUAAGAUCAAACAGAACAUCAAGCUACACACUAGGUCUCUACACAGAUCAAACAUCAAGCUGCAGUUAAUCAAACAUCAGUCAUGUUUUCUCUACCGAGUGAAAUUUCACCUGAAACAUAUGAUUUUCAGUAAUACACCUAAUGUGAUAAUCCUCAUGACAAUGAAAUUUGUGUCACCAAUAACAAAUAGUAACAUAAUAAUUUUUAGUCACAAUAUUUUAGAUGCCAUUGAUAAGAAAAUUUGUUGUAAUGCCUAUAGAAGCAGGUCUGAAGCACAUCCCUUAAUCAAGCAUUGACUCUAUAUUCUCUUCAUGAAACUGCUCCUUUCUAAUAAAAAAAAUCAUGGCUUCAAGUAUUGUCGAGCACAUUAUAGAAAUUCUUGAAAAACACACAUAAAAAGGAGAUUGAUAUUGGGCUAGCAUCCACUUUUUAAUAAAUUGAUAGAAUAUAGAUUAUUAGUUACUGAAUUCGUAUAAUACAGAUGAUUAGUUACUGAGUUCGUUUCAAUGAAUACUUUAAGAGAAAAAAAUUGAUUUGAAACAAGUGAGCGCUCAAAAAACCAAACCUUUGCUGCAAUAGAAACCAAGCUGAACUCAAAAACAUCAUCAUUGAGACACCACCAAGAACCAAAUUCAUGUUGAAUUAGAAAGACUGUGAUGCACCAAAAUAUUUCAACGAGAAGGAACUCCGAAACAUACACCAAGAUUUUUGCAGCGGAACACCCGAAAACAGAUGAAGAGGAAUUUCUAAGUAGCUAAAGAGACUCCAAAGCAACCUGGAAAUCAAUUUGAUGCCCAUUUUUACUUCAUCUUGAACCAAUCCACAAAGAUUUAGGGCUUCAAAUGCCUUCAGUAGUCAAUGCAUCAGUAAUCAAAAAAAUUUCAAAUUUGAAUAAUUUUGGGUUCAAUUCACUUAACAUUCAAGUUAUUCAGGCUUGGAUUAUUGAAAUUAAUUAAUCUCUAAUUCAAAGAAUCUUUUUUUUUUCCUUGUACCAAUAUUUCUUACAUUUUUCUGACAUCAUUGUAGUUAAAUUAUCAAAAAUGUUCUCUCUUGUUUUUGUAAGCCAACGGUAUUAUAUUAAGAACCUAAAAGAUUAUAAAGCUAUUUAAUAAUAUAACAAAAUUCUAAAGCCACUAAUAUGAUUUUUUCUUUUAUGGUAAGCAUCCUAAAAGGGGUUGCAUGAAUGUACCAAAAACAAUAUAUACAAUAUGAUAUUAUAUCUGUUAAAUUGUUAUCAGAAAGAUCAAUGUACAGGAGAAAAAUUUAUUAAUAUUUUUUUAGUAUAUCCAUGAUUUCUUUGUUGAGCACUAUAGGCUUAUGCUUUCUUUUCUUUUUUUCUUUUUAACAAUGUAAAUUUCGUUCAAUUUAAUAGUACUUAAGAUAGCACCAAACAAUUUAAUUAAAAUGAAAAGAAACCUCAAAUUUAUAAAUCCCUCAUAAUAAAAAAGAACUGACGCAUCUGAAAAAUUGAGUAUAUCAUUAUAUGAAAUUAUGAAAUAUUGAAAUAAAUAUUAAAUGAGAAAGUUUAGAAAUUAUGUGAUUAUUGAUUUUGUGACGAGUAAAGACAAUGUAAAUUAAUGUAUUUGCAUAUCUACUUUAGUUUUUUGUUGCAUCUACCAUUUUAUUCAUUUUAGCAAGACGAAGGUGAUAAUGUAAAUUAAUGUAGUUGAUAUGUUGUAAAUUAAAUUAACCCAUUUAAUGUAGUACGUACAUUUAUUGUUGUUGAAUUAAUUCAACUGAUGUAGUGGGGUAACAUUUGCUAUGACUUGAUUUAUUUCAAAUGAUAUAAGAAUGUGGUUUGUCAAUCCAAUUGGCACAUUCAAUUGAUAUGGUGAUAAUUUACUUUCAUUUAUUCACAAUCAUAUUAUUAAAAUAUUAGUAGCUUUGAAGAAUCUAAACGUAUCCACACGUAUCUAAUCGUAUUCGCGACGUGUCCAUAUCGGACACUUGUGCGACACCGGUAUGACAACUGUUUUACCGUGUCGGUGCUUCAUAGUUUACAAGUUUAGAUCCAUAUAUACAAAUUUUCGGACUCUAAAUAAGUUUUGGCAGCUCUAGAAACAAGGUCAAGGAAAAACACUGAUAAAUGAAAAAUGUGCUUCUUCUCUGCCUAUAGUGUUGCCUGCGUCAACAGUAACAGGGUUGCCAUGUGACUCGCCAUGUUGAAAUACAGAUGUGCUACUACAGAAUAGUCAUGAAGUUCCAAGUGGUUGUGCAGGGAUUUGCAGCAUGCCAUAUGAAGAAAAUUGGGUCAACAAUUGCAUACCAUUACGAAGCCAUUCCACUAAUUAAUUUGAGCCCAUUUUUCAUUCGACUGUGACUACUGAUGUCCUCCCAUUUUUCAUUUGAGCCCAAAAAUAAAAAUACAUAAAAGACGGCUGCCGACUUCAACCAUUUCCCUAGUUACUUUCCAAACCCAUUUAUUUUACUUAAUAUUUUUUUCGUACGGAAAAAAUGGAUUUAAAUUUAUUUAAUGGGGCCCGUCAAUAUCAAGGUGACUUAAACCUGUGUUCCAUGGGAAUCACCUAAACCUGUGUCCGCAAGCAAGAAUUGUAUAGUUUAAUUGAACUUCGAACGAUAUAACCAAUGGUACUAGAAACAAAAAAGUUCCAUGAUAUUAACUGUCUUUGGUCACCAAAAAAGAAAAACAUCUCUCAUGGAUUUCUCUGCUGUUUCUUCUGCUCUCAAAACAAUUGACAAGCUAACACGAGAAGUCACAUCCUUGUGGGGAGUCGAUGAACAAGUUGAGGGCUUGGAAAGUGAGUUGAGAUGGAUGCAGAGCUUCCUGAAGGUGGCAGAUGCAAGAAAAGUUGACAAUGAGCUGAUACGUACCUGUGUUGUUGAGAUCAGAGAAUUGGCCUACGAUGCUGAAGAUGUGAUCGAGACGUUUUCCCUCAAAGUUGCGUCCAAAAGGAAAGGUGAAUUUUCAAAUUGCAUCAAAAGAUCCGCUUGUUUCCUCAAGGAGGGAUGCCUGCUCCACAAAAUCAAGUCAGAGAUAGAAAAAAUCACAACCAGAAUCAAAGAAUUGACUAGACAAUUGAAGACGUAUGAUGUAUCGAAGUUAGGGGUUGAUGGAGAAGAACCAAGUUCUUCAACUGAAAGGCGGGAGGCAAGGCGGCCUUAUCCUCAUGUUAUGGAUGAUAACAUUGUUGGAUUGGAUGAUGGCAUCAAGAAAUUGGUCACAGUUCUUCUCGAUGAGCAAAGUGAAUGUAGGGUUGUCUCCAUAUGCGGAAUGGGUGGUCUGGGCAAGACCACUCUUGCCAAGAAAAUAUAUCACCACAGCCAAGUUGUUGGUCAUUUCAAGCACUUGGUUUGGGUAUAUGUUUCUCAACACUGUCAAAAAAGAAAAGUUUGGGAAGAUAUUCUAUCUGAUCUUCUCAUCUUAAGUGAAGAAGACACUAAGAUGAAGGUUGAAAAAUUAGCAGAGAAGUUGUCUAGUUUCUUUGAGGAAAACAAAUGUUUGGUGAUACUCGAUGAUGUUUGGAACACCGAGGCUUGGGAUAGCUUAAAACCAGCAUUUUCAGCAAGGGAGACGAGAAGCAAGAUCUUAGUCACCUCUCGGAACAAGGAGAUAGUUUCACAUGCCGACAAAAAUGGUUUCCUAUAUGAGGUGCAGUGCCUAAACUACGAACAGAGCUGGGAACUAUUCCAAAAGAUUGCAUUUCCCCCAUCAAAUUCUACAGGUAAUAUAUAUGUUUAUUGAUUUCAUAAUUGUGAAAUUAUUCUAUCUUAAUAUAUAUAUUUAACUUUUCGCCUCUUUUAACUCUUAAACUUGUAUCGUUUGUCAAAUUAUCUCAAAUGGAUGGAAAAGUUAACAUCUGUUAACUUUGUUGACGCAACAUCCACAUUGCACACGUGACAUCCAUGUGUAUGCCACUUCAACAAAGUUAAGAAAUGUUAACUUUUUCAUCCAUUUUCGGGAUAUUUGACAAACAACUCAAGGACUAAAAGACGUAAAAAAUUAAAUAAAUGACUAAAUAAGUCAUUAUGCCUUCUAAAUUUGUUUCCGAGUUUAUGUCUUGCCUCCAAAAGUUUUCCAAAGUUUCUUAAUUUGAUUUAUUGUAUGAAUUUUGUAAAUUUUUAUGAUAAAUUUGAUAAUAUUAAUUUGUAGUUUAUUUUGGUAAAUUUAUUCCAACUAGUAUCUAAAUAUUAAUUUAAUGAAAAAUAAAAUUAAAUAAUCAUAAUAUCUAAUACAAAUUGAUAAAUUAAUUUAUUUUGAUUUUUUUUUCUAAAUGUUAUUUUGGUGGCAAGAUUAUCCCAAAUUUGAAAAUAUCACAAUCUUAUUUAUCAACAUUUCUAGUUUCCCCUUGCUUUUUGCAUCAUUUUAUUAUAAAUAUGUAAUUUAUAUGAAAGUAUGAAUUUGGAGAAACUUUUGAACGGAUCAAAGUACCCUUUAUUUUUCUUUAUCAUAUUAUUAAAAUAACUUUAAAAAUAAUUAAAUUUAAUUUAGAAUCAUUAGUUAAAAAAAUUGUGCUAAUUUAAAAAUAAAGUUACUACUUGAAUAAACUCUAAGCAUAAAGUAUCUCUAUAAUUUGUAUUUAUAAUCUAUAAUCUUAUAAAAGUUGAAAGAAAAACUUUUGCAUUGACCUUCUAUUUUUAUCAAAUUACUAAAUUAAAAUUUUAAAAAAAGUUGAAGUAAACCAGAAGUUAACAUAAGUAUACAUUUAAAAAUAAUUAUAAUUUAAUUUUUAAUUAAAAAUAUUGUACUAAUUUUAAAAUAGAGUUAUUACUUGAAUGCAACUUUAAGCAUAAAAUAUAGGAAAAAAGUUAUAUAAUUAUUUUUUAUGCAAAAAAGAAGUUGUGUUAAUUUUAUUGAUGUAAAAUAGAAUUAUUAUUUAAUUAAAUUUAGAGUUAAUUAUAUUAAUUAGUUAUUGUUUUGAAUAAUUUUUUUAUUCAUUAAUUACAUAAAGUAAAACUAUAUUAUAUGUUGAAUAUGUUAAAAAUAUUUUGAUGAUUUGAAAAUUUUAUAUUGUAAUAUUUGAAUCGAUAAAUUAAUAUAUUUUAAUGAUAUUCAAUAAUUUAAAUAAAAUUUUACAUUAAUUACUAAAAUUAAAAUAAAAUAUUUUAAAAUUUUGAUUAAAUAUUAAAUGUGUAAAUCACAUAUAACGCUUAUAGUAAUAGAAACUAGUAUAACUUUUAGAGUAAUUAUUGCAUUUUCAUGAAGUUGAUUAAAUUUUGAUAUUUUUUGAAGAAAUAAAAAUAUUGUAAAACUAGUUGUUUCAAUUAUAGAGAUUUACUAAUUAACUUUCAUUAAUAUCUAAAUCUUGAUUCAUUUAAGAAAUACAUAAUCACUCAUAACAGAUUUGUAGUAAAUUUUCUUUUCUCAAUUUAGAUUAAAUGAUUAUAAUUUAAUUUAGAUUUAUUAAUUAAAAAAUUGUUAAUUUUAAAAUAAAGUUACCACUAAGUAUAAAAUAUCUUUAAUGUAUUUAUAAUCUGUAACCUAUCUAUAGUUCAUAUAAAAUCACGAUUUAUGAUUGCUCCUCGUGAUAGUUUUAGUUGAUCUACUUUCUAAUUUCUCUUAUUAAAAUAAAUCCUUAAAAUAUAGUACAAUUUAUUUGUUUUUAAUAACUUCUAAAAUUGUUAAAUUAGUGGUAAAAUUGUAGUUAAUUACUGAAAUGUAAUGUUGUGGGUAACUUGCAUCUUGCCCCACUAAUUCUUUGAAAUUGUUUAGGAUGUCAAUGUUGCGGUUAAUUACUAAACUGUAGUCUAUUUUCAAGCUAUCAUUGAGUUUUUUGAAACCUUGUUUUGGUAUUAUACAGGUUAUAAAAUUGAUGCGAAAAUGAAAGAUUUAGGAGAGGACAUGGUUAAAAACUGUACAGGGCUUCCAUUAGCCAUCAAUAUAUUGGGAGGAAUUUUGGCUACAAAGUAUCCUUCAUUAACUGAAUGGCUGAAGGUAUCUGCAAAUGUGAAAUCAUAUUUGAAGAAUGAUCAAGGUGAAGUACUAAGAAAUGUGUUGGCAUUAAGUUAUGAUGAUUUGCCUCCCUAUUUAAGACCAUGUUUUCUUUACUUAAGUCACUUUCCAGAAGAUUAUGAGAUACCUGUGGAUAGAUUGAUUCAGUUAUGGGUUGCCGAAGGUAUUGUUUCAUCAAAGCAAGAAGAAGGAGAUGACGGGCAAAUAGCGGAAGAUGUGGCUGAAGGUUAUUUAAUGGAGCUUGCAGAAAGAUGUAUGAUUCAAGUACAAGAAAGAGACAUUGCAACCUUAAAGAUGAGAAGUUUUCAGAUGCAUGAUCUAAUGAGAGAUGUUUGCUUGUCCAAGGCAAAACAACAAAAAAUCCUCUAUAUUGCCGAUCAGUCAAAUGCAUGCCAGUUAUCCACAAUUGGGAGGGUUCGCAGAGUUUCUGUACACAAAUAUUUUUCGAUCCAGUGCAUUAAAAGUCCACGGCUUCGAUCACUUUUGUUCUUUGAUAAGUUUCUUCCGAACGGGGAACAAGAUAAGAUUUUGAAAUCCAUUUGUUUGGAAAGGUACUUCGACAACCACGAAGGUGAAGUUUGCAAUCCACUUGUUUUGUUUGGGACACUUUUAGGUCUUAGUGUGUAUGUUACUAAACUUAGGGGAAUUUGGAAAUAUAUGUUCAAUAAUUUUAAUUUUCUUAGAGUCUUAGAUUACGAAAGGGGAGGAGCUGCAGGAUGCAAGUUACCCAAUGACAUUGGUAAACUCAUCCAUUUAAGAUUCUUGAGAUUAAGGGGUCUUGACUUCUUGAAUUCAUCGUUGCCAUCAUCUCUAAGCAACUUAAGGUGCUUGCAAACAUUGGAUUUAAGAAUCAAAACCCUUUCGUUUUUUAAAAUUAUUCAUGUACCUAACGUGUUAUGGAGGAUGCAGCAACUAAGACAUCUAUAUCUCCCCAAGCAUUGUAGUCCUAAAACAAGGUUGAAGUUGGGUACUCUAAGAAACCUCCAAACACUUGUCAACUUUAACACCAGGAAUUGUUAUGUAAAAGAUCUUAUAAACAUGGCAAAUAUUAGAGAGUUGGAGAUUCGGGGGCCUUUCAUUAUUGAAGAUUUUAACACGGAGGAGUUGGACAAGAAUCCACCUAUCAUCCAAAGUAAAUAUCUUCAUUUCCUGUCUGUCAUCAAUAAUAAAGGAAGCAUAGAUCCAAGACAUUUGGCGCAUCUCCUUUUGAGUUGCGAAAACAUUUCUAAGUUGAGCUUAGAUGUGGAGAUAAGAAGGUUACCAGAGUACCACUACUUGUCUUCAAAUCUCGCUUACAUAAAGUUGAGAAGGUGUGAGCUUGAGGAAGACCCAAUGCCAACACUUGAGAAAUUGCCUUACUUAAGGAUGCUUGAAUUACAUGAAGAGGCUUUCAUAGGAAAGGAAAUGUUUUGUUGUGGACAAGCUUUUGCUAAACUUGAGUCUCUAAGCCUUAAGGAGCUUAACAAUCUAGAGGAGUGGAAGGUGGGUGAAGGAGCCAUGCCUUCUCUUCAGCGAUUGGAGAUACAAAAAUGUAGACAGCUAAAAAUGCUUCCAGAUGGACUGAGGUUCAUUGCAAACCUCCAAGAACUGAAGAUUGAAUCAAUGCCAAAGACAUUCAAAGAUAAUUGGGAGGAAGGGGGAGAAGAUUUCUGCAAAGUCCGACAUGUUCCUUCUAUCAUAUUCCAAGAUUGCGAGUGAUAGUAAUCAUGAUUAAUGCCAGGUACUUCAUAAUCUUUGUUUUUGGAAAUACUUAACCCUUUUGUUUAUAUAUAAAUAUCCACAACCAUUCUGCAUGUUUAGAUUCUUUCUCGAGCAGAUAAUAAUUUUGUUGGUGUUUAAACAUGAAAACUAAGGAGAAUUGAAACAAAGAACGGAUGCAAAGAGAAUUAAACAAGAACUUGACUGAAAAAAUUCAUCUAUCUUUCAUCCAUUAAGUUAAAAUAUAAGUUACAAGGCAGUCACCUAAUAUACAACUGCUCCCACUAAUAACAUGACUAAAACAAAGCUUGAAUUACACACAAAAUGUAGCUGACAUAUCAACUAUUACAUCACAUUGGAAAUCAAACAAAUCAGCAACUAAUCUUACUAACUUUAAAGACAAAUUACAAAUGAACUAAAGCUAGUUACAUAGGAACAAAAUGUUGCUGCUGCACUGGUUCAGCUUCAAUGCUGGUCUGCUGUUGCAUUGCAGGCCAAAGAUCAUCAAAUUAGACAAGAUCCUAGUUUCAGUUCUCAUCGUCCUCUGUUUUUGGUAAUGUUUCACAUUCCCACAGGAUUUGUCAUUUGAAUUAAAAGUGGUAGAAAAUGUUUUCAAUAGGGUGUUAAGCACGCUCGUGAUGGUCAGCAGAUGCAAUUCGGAAGACUGAAAUUAACUGACAUUGUCUUUUAUUUCAAGAUUCUUAAACUACUUCAUAUAAUAUUGACAUUUUUUAACUUUUCCUCUUCAGGUAUAGAAACCAUUGCCAUUUUUUCUAUUCUGUUGCUGCUCGUCAUGGGACCAAAUAUAUUUAAAAAAGUUGUAACAGUACUAUGUGAAAUUGUGUAGGUGGUGUGAGAUUUUUGUAUUGUAAAACUGGAGAUUUAAGAUUAUCUUGUAUUUUCUAUAGAUGUUGUGGAUUCUAUUGUUGUUCACAUGAGAUUGGUUUUUUGUUAUUUUUUAACUAUUCUCAAAUUUGUAAUGUUCCAAAUUAUCUAAAGAUUUUUAAGUAAUUUUCUAUUAUAUAUAGAGCAAUGAUUACAAAAGAAAAGGAAAUACAAAAACAACACCAAUUUCAUAAAUAUUAAUGAUACUGUGGGAUGGUUGAAGUUAGGACAAAAUUUAUUCUUUGCUUAAACUUUCUGCAAGGAAUGGUUGAGAACAUAAAAGAUUGGAUCUUUAUAAAAUUUUAGUUGUUAUUUAGCUUACGAUGAAUACGUGAUUGAGACUUUUGUGCUCAAAAUUGUUGUAUGCGUCAGUGUUGCUUGUUCACUCCAUCCAAGUGAAAUGGUGUGUGACUCAAAUAUGCGCAUGAGCUACAUGGUGAGCGCAACUAGGGCCUUUUACCUUCUUCCGGUCCAGAAAUUAUAUCAAAUAGGUAUUUUCCCUCCCGAGAGAUCAUGGUUGUAGUUAUAUUGUUAUUGUUAUUGAGAGUGAUUGUUAUGCUCUUGUGACUAGACUCAAUAGUAGAACUUUGGACUUGUGUUUAUAUGGUUGAAUCAAUGAAGAGGCCCAUGGACAUUGCUCUUUCUUUUAUUUGGUUUGUUCAUAGGUCAAUGGGAUAGUACACAGCCUUGUGUUUUCGGUUUAAACUAUCCGAAUGUCAUUCACCGACUUGUGUUAGAUGAUGCUAUGAAUUUUUAUGUUUUGGCUUCAAAGGUCCUCUUCUUUCUUUCUUUUUCCUUUAUAUUUUGAUUCCUCUUUCUUUGAUUUUGUUACCUUUCUCUCUGUUGCAGGCUUCCACUUGGUCUUCAUUUGGAGUUUUUUGUUGUUGUUCUUUUUACAUUUUUUGUGGUGUUGGUGGUGUGAAUUUUUUGGUAAAUGGAGUGGUUGUGAGGGGGAUUGGAUUUAACAAUGGUGAGAGUGGAGGGUGGACAGUGACGGUGAUGUGUGCUGGUUAGUUAACUGGAUAAUGGUGAUGGAUAGUGUUGAGAGAGGUUGAUGAUGGUGUAGUCCAAGUGAACAACAAAUUCAAAGUUCUUUUUAAAGUUUUCUGAAAAAAAGAAAGAAGAAAUAAAAUAAAUAAAUUUUUAACAGCUUGGGAAAAUUUAGCUGAAAGACACUAGAAUAUAAAUAAAACAAUUAGGUUUUAAGUAAUUAUUUAAAAAAAUUAUUUGCAUAGAUUUUUUUCUUAAAACUUUCUAUUUUUUAAAAUUUUAUUAUUUCAAAUUUUGAAGUAAUUUUAAUUGUUUUGCUGACGUGUGGCAUAUAAGAUAAAAUAACGUCACAUCAACAAUUAUGCACAUGUACAGUGACAUGUCAGGACUUAGAAAAUGAUUAAUUUGAUAAAAAAAAAUGAAACCAUGGGGAUUAAUUCUUCUUCUUCUCCUUUUUUUUAAUUCAAGCGAUUUGAUUUUGUUUUCUUGAAUAUAUAUUGGUAAAAGUAUCACAAAAUUUCUUGUACUAUAUUUUAGAUUACAUUUUAGUUUCUCUAUUGAAAAAACGGGCGAGCUAACCUCUAUAUGUUAGAUAAGUGAGUAAAAUAGCCCAUCCGUUAAAUUUUAGUUUAAUAUAUAAGAUAUAAUAAUAAAUGUAGCCCUCAAUCUUUAUACAUUCAUUCAAUUUGACCCCUACACUUUUAUUGAAAGUAAAUUGGAAAACUUUAAAACUAAUAAGACUAAAGAGUCAAAAAGGCUUUAAUAACAAAUUAAAAAAAAUCAAUUAAGCCAUUUUAAAAUUUAAAAAUUAUUAAAAAAAUCAUAAAAAUUAUAAACAAAAUUUAUAAAUAAAAGGUUUUAAAAGUUUUAAAAUUAUAAAAUAUUUAUUAAAAAUAAGAAUACCAAUCCAUUAAAAUAUAAUAAUUAUAAGAUUUUAAAAAAAAAUUGACCCCACUCUUUUAUUGGGCCAGUAUUAUUAUUUAUUAAUAAAAAAUAUAAAUUUAUAAUUUUUCUUAUAAAUUUAUAAUUAUUUAAAUAAUUUUUAAAUUUUAAAAGGGCUUACUUGAUUUUUUUAAAAAUUUUUUUACUAAUGCCUUUUUGACCCUUUAGCUUUAUUAAUUUCAAAAUUUUCUAAUUUACUUCCAAUAAAAGAGUAGGGUCAAAUUGAAUAAAUGUAUAAAGGUUGAGAGUUAAAUUUAUUAUUAUAUCUUGUAUAUAGGCUCCAAAUUUUAAUUUGAACUAAUUUGUCUUUUUUUUAAUAAAAAACUAAAAUACAAUUCAAAAUAUAGUAAAAAAAAUUUGUGAUACUUUUACCGGGCAAUUUACACAAAAAAGCCCUUGUUUUUAAAAUUACCGAAAUGGGUUCAGUAUUUAAUUAUUUACCGGAAUGAGCUAUUUUCUGGGAAAUCGUGUCCACGUCAGCUCAAUGUCAGGGUACGCGCCAGCAAGUCGCGGCCACAUCAGCACAAUUUGUUGACGUGGACGCGACUUGCCCCGUGCGUGAACCCCCCCAACAGUCAAAAAGAAAACUAUAAAUACCCCCGCCCCUUUUCUUUUCACAAACUAAUCCUCUCUCAAAUUUCCUCUCAAUUUCCUCUCAAUUUGCUUUCAAAUUCCUUCCAAAUUUCUCUCAAAUCCAUAUUUAAUUUUAAUUUGCUCUCAAGUUCCUCUUAAAUUUCUCUUAACUCCCCUUUUUUAAAUAAUUUUAAAAAAAUUAAAUUUUUUUAAACAGUAAAAAUUUGUACGACUUCAACAAUGGCUGGAGAAUUGACUCGUCUUGAUAAGCAUCACAUAUUGGCGGAACAAAUGAAAAUGAUAAGUGUUAAAUUUAAUUUCUAAAUAUUAUUUAAGAAUUUUUUAUUUAUGCAUUUUUAGAUAAUUAUUAAUUUAUUAUUUGUUAUAAAAGUUUGUAGAUCGGGUAUUGGAAUGCAAUAUCCGGAAUAUGCACGCUCCUCCAUCACCGUUGGUAGAGAACUACCUGCGGGAAGCAGGUUUUUAGCACGUGGCGAUGGUAGGCCGGGGAUGCAAGGUGGACCCGAAACUAAUCAGUGCGUUGAUCGAGAGGUGGAGACCCGAGACGCACACAUUCCAUCUUCCAUGUAGAGAGUGCACUAUCACUCUAGAAGAUGUCAGUCUUCAAUUGGGAUUGUCGGUGGACGGGUAUCCAGUCACCGGGUCUGCCCAAUCUAGCGAUUGGGGGGUGUGCUACGUGCUUUUGGGUGCUAUUUAGGAGAAAAUGGAGGGAGGUAAGAUCAAGAUGGGCUGGUUACGUGACACGUUCCCUAAUCCGAAUGAAGAUUCAACCGAAAUUGAAAGAAUCCGAUAUGCUCGGGCAUACAUUCUUCAAUUAAUUAGAGGUUAUCUGAUGCCUGACACAUCACGGAGCUGUGUACAUCUAAGAUGGAUGCUGAAACUCGUUGAUUUUAGAGCAGCCGGUGAAUUGAGUUGGGGGUCUGCCGUCUUGGCAACGUUAUAUCGGGAGAUAUACGCGGCGAAGCGACCGAGGAGAGAAAACAUCGGAGGUUGCCUGUCACUACUGCAGUCAUGGGCACGGUUUCGCUUUCCAUUUCUACGUCCUCAAGUGGACCACCCAUAUACAUUCCCACUCAUAACAAGGUAAAUUUUAUAUUAGAUUUUACAAUUAUUAUGUAGAUUUUUAAAAAUAAAAGUAUGCUAAAUUUUUUUAUGAAAUUUGGUGGAACCAUCAGACAAGUCAUGCUCGGUUACCUACCUCUUUUGAAGAUAUACGACUUCUAUUAGACCAACGGUCGGAAGCAUAAGUAAGUAUUAAAUAAAAUAGAUAUUUCCAUACAUUCGCUAGUCAAUUGGUAUUUAGUAUUUAGUAUUUAGUAUUAUGUAUAUAACUAAUAUUUCUAUCAUGUUCAUAUAGUUUCAAUGGACACCAUACGAGGAUCUGACAAUUCGGGCAGUAAUUCAGGAAGGGUUCUUACAAAAUCCACUAGCUUAACACGUGAAAGUUGUGUUGAUCAACUACGCAACCAUGGAGCCGCACCAGUCAGACAGAGUGCUACUACAGUUUGGAUGUAGACAACCGAUUCCCGUGGAUCCUGAUAUGUUUGAUGAUCAACACAAAGUCGACCUUCGGCAAUUGAAUAUGGAUUGGCCGAGAUACUGGUCCGAGUACAUGAAAAUAUGGGAAGAUCGGUAUGAAUAUAUACCUACUCGGGAACCAAUCAUCGUUCCGGAGUUAGUGUGCAUUCCAGAAUACAUGUCGUGGUUUAGAAUCCAUGGCAAGCCGUAUUUACUGAUGCGAGAGGAGAGGCAGCGACAAAUACCUGUCUAAAGGGAAAGGCGCGGGCCUCUAAAUCCAAGACGACAAGACGACGAAGGCAGCCCCUCAACGAGGCCCAGACAUUCACCCGGCUCAUCAUCAGCGGCCAUGCAAUCACCAGGCCCAAUGAGAGCACCAACACAGUCACCCAACACAGCAAUUCAAUAGAUGAUACCCAUGCAACCGCCUUUUCAAAUGAUGCCAGGUGCGUUUCCUACCGCUUAUAUGUAUCCUAACCCUUAUAUGUAUCCUUUUCCGAGUCCUAUGGCAGGUUGGAGCCAAAUGCCAGGUUCAGCUCUAUUUUCUGUUAUGCCGAGUAGACCGCCGAUAUAUAGGCCAGCGUCGCACGAGGGAUCGUAAGAGGGGCUGUCGGGGAGCUCUCCUUUUUACCAAUCCUCACCAACGUAUGAGUUUCAAACAUCAUCACCGUUCGUGAUGCAAACACUUCCACAUACACUAUUCUUUGAAGGUGGAUCAUCGUCCCAAGUCUGACAACCAGAUGACGUACCGGAAGAACCAGAAUCCCCGCCGAAGGAACAACAAUCGGCGUUGAAAGCUAGACAAAGAAGGAAUCCAGCGCGUAACCGUCGACGGCCGCCAUGUGGCACUGAAUCCCCCGGGCAUAGACAUUGAUUUUUGUAUUUAAAUUUAUUUGUACAAAUAUUUUGAAUAUUUUGAUAUUAUUUGAUGUAAUAAAAUAGAAAUUUUUUUGAGUUAUUUUGACAUUAAUCUUAGCCUCUCUAAUUUGUUUCUGCUGUGACUUAUGCAUUCUGAGAACAUUUUUUGCCUAAUUUAUAGCCUCAGUCCAAACAUGCUACUAUAGCAAAAGCGCGUCCACGAGGGCGCGCUUUCACAAAUUCUUCUCAAAUAGCAUACUGCUAGAAGCAAUUUUAUACUAUUUGCUCAGAAAUGUCAACUCAAAAUUAUUUCUUCUAGGACCUACUGUAGCAAAAGCGCGUCCAUGAGGGCGCGAUUUCACAAAUUCUUAUCAAACAGCAUUCUGCUAGAAGCGAUUUUAUACUAUUUGCUCAGAAACGUCAACUCGAAAUUAUUUCUUCCAAGACCUACUGUAGUAAAAGCGCGUCCACGGGGGUGCGAUUUCACAAAUUAUUAUCAAACAACAUUCUGCUAGAAGCGAUUUUAUACUAUUUGAUCAGAAACGUCAACUCGAAAUUAUUUCUUCCAGGACUUAAAACCCUAAAAAGCCUAAACCCUAAACCUUAAAAGCCAAAAAAAUUUAACGUGGGAAAAACGGCAAAAUUGCGUCCCCCGAAACGCGAUACGUGGCAUGAAAUCACAUCCACGUCAGCGCGAUUUGUUGACGUGGCAGCAAAUCGCAUCCUAAAGGGCCCGAUUUGUUGUCAUAUCAGCAAAUCGCGCUGACGUGGCCGCGACUUGUGGCUCGUACCUUGACAUCACGCUUAGGUGGACGCGAUUUGCCGGAAAAUGGCCUAUUCUGGUAAAUAAUUAAAUACUGGGCCCAUUUCGGUAAUUUUAAAUAAAAAGGCUUUUAUUGGUAAAUUGCCCACUUUUAGCUAUCAUAUUAAUAGAUAAAACGAAAUAAUUAACAAAAUCGAUGAAAAUUUCUAAUUGAGUAAAAAAGAAGGCACUAAUAAUUUGUUGAUUUUAAUGAAGGGGGUCUCAUUUAUAAAAACGUGUCUUUUUCCCCUCCCCCGCUCAACAUUCAAUUUGACCGCACUAAUUAAGUUAUCCUUUCAAUAAUUAAUUUUAACUAUAUUAUCCUUAAUCUUCACUCUACUCUUUUAAAAUAUAUAGUGAUUCUCACUUUCAAAUUCGUAAUUAGUGUUUACUUCUUUAAUGAUCUAUAAAAUAUGAAAGAUUAGUCAUUAGACUUGCUCUAAUGAAUACAUUUGGAAAAUCAAAAAUAGUAAACUAAGGGUAAGUUCGAAUGGGCGAUGCAUUUACUUGCGAUUAGUGUUAAAACAAUGGUGGCAGUGAGAUUAAAUGUUGUGACAAUAUUGUAACGUAAAACAAAAAGUAAGCUAAACGCACCGCAUCCCACCAUCUAUUCAAGCCCAUCCUAAAUACACUUCCUCACCACCAGACUCCAUCUUAAUCUUUCUUUACCUUAUCUAAUAUAUAUUGGAAAAUUAUUCCAUACAUUAUCAAUAGAAAUUGUUAAAUUUUACUAGUGAAUUGUUAAAUAUUUUUAGUUUAUCUGCUUUCUAGUUUCUUCUAUUAAAAUAAAUCCUUAAAACGUACUACAAUAAUUUUUUAAAUUUCUAUUAAAAAAAAUUUGUAAUUUCCCAUUUUACUAAAAUCAUUAGCCUCAUGUGACGUUGUAUUAAGAAUUUACAUUUGAUAUACUAUGUGUAUAGGUGAAUCACAUGCAAGAAAUCACUUGUUAAAAAUCAUUUUAUUUGUUUUUAAUAACUUUUAAAAUUGUUAAAUUGGCGGAACUAUUGUGGUUAAUUACUAACUAUAGUCUGGUUUUGAUAUUAUCACUGAUUUUUUUGAAACUUUGUUUUGGUAUUAUACAGACAGACUAUAAAAUUGAUGCGAAAAUGAAGAAGUUAGGAGAGGACAUGGUUAAACACUGUGCAGGGCUUCCAUUAGCCAUCAUUAUAUUGGGAGGGAUUUUGGCUACAAAAUAUCCUUCAUCAACUGAAUGGCUGAAGGUAUCUGCAAAUGUGAAAUCAUACAUGAAGAACAAUAAAGGUGAAGUUCUAAGAGAUGUGUUAGCAUUAAGUUAUGAUGAUCUGCCUCCCUAUUUAAAAUCAUGUUUCCUUUAUUUAAGCCAAUUUCCAGAGGAUUAUGAGAUACCUGCGGAUAGAUUGAUUCAGUUAUGGGUUGCCGAAGGUAUUGUUUCAUCAAAGCAAGAAGUAGGAGAUCAUAUAUAAUAGGAGUAACUACAUAUUAUUUACUAUCAUAAUAGCUUAGCCCAAAAUAAAAUUGAUCUAAUUUGGUAAUAGUUUAUUGGGCUUUAAUUAUUAAAUAAAGUAUAGGUUAAAUAUGUGUAUAUACUCUAGUAACACUACACCAGAACAGAUUUUUAGCGGCAUUUUUUAGGCCUUUAGCGGCGCUUUUUAACGCCACUAAAGGCAUUUGCGGCGCUUUAGGAAGCGCCACAAAAAAAGCCGCUAAGGAUAACGUCGCUAACUUUUUGCGGCGCUUACAGAAAAAAGUGCCGCUAAAGGUCAUGAUUUUUGGCGGCGCUUAGAAAAAACGCCACUAAAGAUCAUGUUCUUUAGCGGCGCUUAGAAAAAAACGCCGCUAAAUAUCAUGUUCUUUAGCGGCGCUUGUGCAAAAAACGCCGCUAAAGAUCAUGUUCUUUAGCGGCGCUAAGAAAAAAACGCCACUAAAGAUCAUGUUCUUUAGCGGCGGUAAGAAAAAAACGCCACCAAAGAUCGUGUUCUUUAGCGGCGCUUGGGAAAAAAACGCCGCUAAAGAUCAUGUUCUUUAGCGGCGCUUUAUCUACAAAUGCCGCUAAAAGUAGUGUGCUUUAGCGGCGCUUAUUUCAGAAAUGCCACUAUAUGAUAUAACUUUUAGCGGCGCUUUUUAAAAAAACGCCACUAAUUUUGAGAUUUUUUAAAAUAAAAUUUUCUGUUUUUUUCAGCCCUCCUGCAACAACAAAUUAAAAGCAACCAGAUCUAAACUAACCAAAAACAAUAAAUUUAUAUAAUAUUUCAAAUUAAAUGACUAAAAUGAUAUUAAUAUCAAUAAAUAAAAGUGAAUUCAUACUUUUCUUUACAAAAACGUUAAAAGUUAGAAUGAUAAAAAUAUUUAUGCAACAUACAUUAUGUAGGCGGAAGUUGCGACUGCUGAAACAUCUUCAUCAUAAUCUGAAGUUGUUGUUGAAGUUCAUCGUACUUUUUGCUCUGCUAUGCCUCUCUCGAUGCCGCAUCUGCUUGAAGUCGUUGCUGUAGUUCUUCAUAUUUUUUUUGAACCUCUGCUUCUCUCGCUGCUUCUCUCGCUGCGGCAUCUGCUUCUCUCGUUGCAGUCUCUGCUUCCCUCGCUGCUGCCUUUGUUUUAAGUUGUUGCUGAAGUUCUUCAUAUUUCCUUUGAACCUCAAAUGUGGUCGCUUGCAUCUGAGCUAUCUGGUCUUUUAACCUCUGAACUUCAGCUUGAGAUUGACUCCCCGAAGCCAUGUAUUGGUGCGAGCUGGUUCCAAAAUAUUGGGUUGGGCUGAUAAAAGAUCCUUGAAAUCGAACCCGACCAUACCUUUCUGGACCGAAAACUUCAGUAAUAAUCCGGUUGUCAAUGUCUUCAAGAUGAAUAGAACUAUCAGUAGAAGCAAUCGCUUCGUACUCCGCCUUUUUAUCAUUUAGUUUUUCCUAAUAAAUAAAUCACAUAGUUAGGAACACAAUAUAUAUUAAAAAACAAAUGCAAUAUAACAAUAGUCGCAUUAAAAGCAAUAAAUUAAACCAUUAGAAAAGAAACACUAUAAAUAACUAAAACAAGUCAAAUCGUAUUAAGUAAACGUACCAUAAUUUCAGCAGCUUCAAGAGUCAUAGCAGAUCCAUCUUUCUUCUUAUGUGUAAUUUCAAAAAGUUGAAGGCGUCCAACUUUUUGACCGGACGCCCGUUCCUACAAUAUAGUAGUAAGAAUAUUAUUUAAUAGAAAGUUAUACAUAUUGUAGAAUAUUAAAAAAUUAAAAAUACCUCCGCCUCAGCUACACAUGUAAAACUUCUCGACCCGGCUAUAUGAGUGAAUUUUUGUUGCUGCCGGCUGCUUUUUCCAACUCGUUCACGAUCCUACGUUAUAAAAUUUUUAGAACGUAAAUAGUAAAUAGUAUACACCAAAAUAAUUACAAUAGUUUUGAAGUACGUCGUACCUCGCCUUUCUUCGAAUGCCAAAAUCUAACCGCAUCUUCCCAUUGGUACAUCAACAUACCCGGCGGGACAUUUUGCAAUUUCUCAUCGAGGGUUGUUUUUGUCUUAUAAUAAUUUUUCUUCAACAUACUUUUAUUGUCUCUCCAUCUUUUUCCCAAUGCCUUCUUUACAUAAGCAUCGGAGACCUCUAAAGCAAACCUCGCCUACAAAAAACACAAGUUAAUAAAGUAAAUAUAAAUGAAACUGUUUCCCAAGCAUUACAGAUGACAUUAACAUUUUGUUACAUUAAUAUUAUCGAGGGCUUGGUUUUCGUCGCUAUCGGGCAUUUCACGCCAUGACUCGUAGUUGAUAGGCAACAUAUUCGCAUUUCGUGCUAAAAUGCCCAUGUAUCCUGCUAAAAGUCGAGCUUCUGAUCCAACAGGCUGACCAAAACUGUUUCUGCAUACCUUGACACGCUCGACUGGAUCUAACUCGUACAACUCUUUAAGUAGCGUACGUCCUCGACCUCUGCGCGUCCUACCAUUUUCAGCUACAAAUGGUAUAUUAUAAUAUAAGAAUUUGAAAAAUAAAUCAACUAUAAGUUAACACGCAUGUAAAUUAAAUGUAAAAUUACUUUGAACUUCUGUAGGAUCCUCAGCUGGAAUCGGAACAUUCGAAGAUCCAAUUGCUAUCUGUUGUUCAGUACUAUUUGUUUCUGUCGAGUUUGGAUCAUUUUGAACAAUGCUUCCCCUUAGAAUUUUUCUUCUAGGCAUUUUAUCUGCAAUACACAUAAAGUAGUUGAAAACUUAAUAACUAAUUACAACAAUAACAGCACAUAUAAAACAAUUGAUAUGAUAUAAUAAGACCAAGAUUUAAAUGAUGAUAUUACAUAUAAUUAAACAAUCGUAAAAUCUUACUACAUCAUUAUUCGUAAAUAUCUUCAUUCGUAUCCUGACGAACCCAUUGAAAUUGUGCACUAGUACUAGGGAUAUUAUUGUUUAAGUUUUGUUCUGGAAAUGGCAAAGUUUCUGAUCUGUCGUCGAUGUUAUCUCUACUUCCACUGCCCAUGUCAAACAAGUCUCUAGGGAUGUUACGGAGUACAACGUACCAACCCUCAUCAGUUGGAUCUUUUGAGUAAAAAACUUGUUUGACUUGACUUGAGAAUACAUACGGCUCAUCUAUCAAUUGUUGUCCUGUGUGAAUCAAUCGGUCAAAGUUCACCAUUGUAAAACCAAAUUGAUCUUGCUUGAUUCCACGAGCUGUAUUAACAUCGGCCCAAUCACCUCGAAAUAAGACAACUUUCCAUUUGCCGUGGUAAUCCAACUCAAUAAUGUCAGUAAGCUGUCUGAAAUAUUCCACAUUUCCCUCGACAGGAUUAUUGUCCCUAGCGCUAGCAUAACUUGUAAUUGCAGAAUUAACAAUUAUUCCAAAAUUUUGCGUUCUCCUCAACCUCUUGCCAUAUUUUGUAUGAAAUCUGAAUCCGUUGAUGAGGAACGCACUAUAUCUUUUAACCACUCAAUUUGGACCUUGGGAUAGCCAUUUAACUUCGUCGUUUACGCUCUUCCCACUCCAAACCUAUUGAAUGGAAAGUAAACUGACUAAUUAAAAAUCUUAUGAGAAAGCAUUAUAAUUUGUAAGCGGAAGCUCGAACUGCAUACCGUUUGACACAACCAUUCAUAAAAAGAUUCUGUAAACAACUUAUUGAUAUCUCGAUGUUGUGUUCUUCAGGAGCGCGAACGAGAUCUCAAUAUUUGUUUGUACUCACUAUGUUAAAAACAAUGUGAUCUUUGUUAGAAGAUAAACAAUUUUUAGUUUGAUAAAUAUUUAUAAAAUUUGUAGAACUUACUUCCGUAAAGGUUCCAAUGAUUCGUGGUGAAACAGAACAUAUCGAUGUGCUUGUACCCACGAUAAAUGAUCUAAUUCUGCAAUUUCAACUUUGCCGAUUGGUUCUCCAAAACUUUGGAACAAAUAAAUAUUGGCUAAGUUAUAGUCCGUGAGUCGAGCAUUCCUAUUUGGUCUGUUCAACCUUGUUUCGACAUCUUUCAAAUAUCUUGAGCAGAAGGUCAUACAUUCCUCUGCCAAGUAGCCUUCAGCAAUUGAUCCUUCUGGAUAUCGCUUGUUGCGGCAGUAAGACUUUAAUUUGGAUAGGAACCUAAACACAAUAUACAACAUUAUCAAAAGUUGUAACUAAAGGCAUAGAGGUGAAUGAAGAAAAAUUUUAAAAAUACUUCUUUAACACCUUUCUAUGGGAUACAUCCAUCGAUAGAAAAUGGGUCCGCCAAGAAUUGCUUCGUGCGGGAGAUGAAUUAUCAAGUGAACCAUAAUGGUGAAGAAGGAAGGUGGGAAGAUUUUCUCCAUGUUGCAUAAAGUCAAAGUGGCUCGAUCCCGUACCUUCUGAAGUUCUUGAACAUCCAAAACUUUGCCACAAAUAGCUUUCAUUAUGUUGGAUAGUUCAAUGAUACAAGACAUCAUCUUCUUGGACAUACAACAUCGUAGAGCAACUGGCAUUAAAUCUUGCAUCAAGAUGUGAUAGUCAUGUGAUUUUAGCGAAUAUAAUCUUCGAUCUUUAACACUAACACAUCGAGAUAUAUUUGAUGCAUACGCAUCCGGAACCUUUAUAUCCUUCAACACCAUGCAAAAUAAUUUUUUCUCCGUCUUGUACAUUGAGAAAAUAGAAGGCGGCAACCGAUAUUUCCCAUUCGGAAGUGGAUUGGGAUGAAGAUCAGGCCGAAUUCCCAUUUGGACUAAAUCAAGUCGACUCUGAAGAUUGUCUUUUGAUUUUCCGUCGACGUUCAAAAUUGUACCCACAAUGUUCUCGCAGACAUUUUUCUCAAUGUGCAUAACAUCAAGAUUGUGUCGUAAAAGGUGAUGCUCCCAAUAAGGAAACUCAAAAAAAUACUUCUUUUUUUCCACAAGUCUGCCUCAUUAGGAUCGUCCUCUUCGUCGGAGCUUUCAUCAGCUUCAUCAUAUGAUCUUUUGUUUCUCUGUGUGUUUGGCGGUUGGUUCAUCUUCCCAUAAAUGAAAUUCAUAUCUUCCAACAUGAACAAUACUUCAGAGCCACUAGUCUGGGAAGGAGCUUCUCUGAACUCUUCAGUGCCGUCAAAUACAGAACUCUAAAAUCUAAAUCUAUGAUUUUUUGGUAACCACCGACGAUGCCCCAUGUAAGAGAACUUCUUCCCAUUGUACAACCAUUGCGAACAUGUUUGUGCAGCACAACAAGGACACGCGUAACGACCCUUGGUACUCCAACCGGAUAAAUUGGCAUAAGAAGGAAAGUCAUUAAUGGUCCACAUCAAAGCUGCACGUAAAUUAAAGUUCUCUUUUCUCAGCACAUCGUAUGUCUCGACACCAGCCCAUAAUUGUUUUAACUCUUCAAUAAGUGGCUGUAAAUAAAUGUCGAUAUCAUUCCCAGGCCCUUUCUCCCCAGGGAUAAUCAUAGAUAAAAUAAGGGAAGAUUGCUUCAUGCAAAUCCACGGAGGCAGAUUGUAAGGAACAAGCACUACUGGCCAAGUACUGUACGCAGUACUCAUGAUCUUGAAAGGAUUAAAUCCAUCAGAUGCUAGCCCAAGCCUCACACUCCUAGGAUCGCUUGCAAAGCUUGGAUAUUUAUUGUAAAAUGAUUUCCAAGCUAAAGAAUCUACCGGAUGCCUCAUCUUCCCAUCAUUGGUUUGUCCGUCAUGGUGCCACGUCAUAGACUCCGCUGUCUUUGACGACAUGAAAAGCCUUUGAAGCCUUGGUAUCAGCGAAAAAUAUCGUAAAAUCUUGACCGUCUUUUGACUUGGUUGUGCAACAUUUUCAUCGUCGUUCCCACCUUCUGUGUUUUUACUUAUCCAACGGGAGUGGCCGCAAACAUGACAGCACUGUUGAUUUCUCCGAUCGCCCCAAUACAACAUGCAGUCAUUUGGACAACUAUGGAUUUUGUUGUACCCAAGGCCUAAAUCUUUUAUCAUUUUCUUCAUAUCUUUGCAUGACCGAGGGAUUUUUGCAAAAGGAAACAUUUCUCCCAAGAACUCUAACAGCAUUGUCAAAGAGUUCCCGGUCCACCCUCCCAAACAUUUUAAUUGAAAAAGACGAACACAGAAAGACAUUUUUGAAAAUUUGGAUCCCUCAUACAGUUCUUCGUUCAUGUCAUUAAGUAGCGCAUAGAACUUCGCCGCUUCUUCAUUCGGCACUACUUCUCGGUUCGGUAAAAGCAUUUCUCCCAAUAUUACAAUCAUCAGAAGCCACAAAGUCCGCUGGGAAUGACUAGACGCCAUGAUUAUGCAUAUUAAAUGCAUUCCGCAACAUACCUUCCAUGUCAUCCCCUCUAUCAGACUGAUGGUAAGCAGUACCAGAGUAAGAUACAUCCAUCGUUGAAGAGUAAGUACUACGCGGGCAUUCUCCAUGAAAUAACCAUCGUUUAUAACCCCGAACAAACCCAUCAACAAUUAGAUGCUCGUAUACAACCUCAUGAUAAUGCCAGUUUAUGUUGACACACUUCUUACACGGGCAAAGAAUCAUGUUCUCUUGGCUUGCAUAUUGAAAUGCAAAAUUUAGAAAAUACUGUACUCCAUUUCGAUAACCAUUGCUAACCCUUGACAAAUUCAUCCAAGACCGGUCCAUUUCUUAAUUCUUGAAUUCUGACGUUCACAAUAAUUUGCACGGGUAAAUUAAAACGCCAGUUAUAACCAUAAAUGAAUUUCAAAAAUUUGUGAUAUGAUAUAUUUUUAUGUAUUAUGUAAGUUAUGUAACUUACGUAAGUUACCAAAUUAAUGUAUGUUAUGUAAGUUGUAAGUUAUUAUGUAUUAUGUAAGUUAUGUAUUAUGUAGGUUAUGUAAGUUGUGUAAGAUAUUUAAGUUAUGUAAGUUUUGCAGUAUGUAAGUUAUGUAUGCUAUGUAUAAUGUAAGUUGUUAUGUAUAAUGUAAGUUAAUAUGUAAGUAAUGUAUUAUGUAAGUUUAUAUAAAAAUUUUAUAUAAGUUAUGUAUUAUGUAAGGUAACAUAUAAGUUUAUGUAAGUUAUGAAUGUAAGUUAUGUAAGUUAUGAAUGUAAGUUAUUUAAAUUAUUUAAGUUGUGUAUUAUAUAAGUCAUGUUGCUAUGUGUAAUGUAUGUAAAUUAUGAUUUAUAAACGCUUUAAAAUUUUCAAAUAUAUCAAUAUAGUUUUAAUAAAUAUAUUAAAACUGUAUAUAAAUAUAUAUAUCAAAGAUGUUUUAAAAUAUAACUUUGAAUACAUUUCAUUUAAAAUUUAAUUUUGUAGCUAUAAUCUCCGGAUAAUUCAAAGAUCGUUACGAUAUGAUGUAUAUUUUGUAGCUUUUAUUAAUUCAAACAACAAAUUAUGUCAGUAUUUAUAAAAAAAACAUUGACUUCGAAUUACAAGAUGUAAUUAAUUUGUUUAUAUUUAUGAAAACAAUUUUUGUUAUUAAAGAAAUAAUACUUUGAAUUGCCAUUACAAAAUAAAUAUAUUUCGAAAAAGAAUAUUUUUAUUUUAAUAGAAAAUAUAAAUAAAUAUACAAAUUUAUUUGUAUGUAAAAGAUUAUUAAUCAUUAACAUAAAACCAUUAUGUAAGUUAAGAUAGAUAAUUAAUCAUUAAUUUGAAGUAAAAUUUAUAAUUGCAACACAUAAUAUCGGAAAUCGAUGAUUUAUAAACGCUAAACCGAUUAAAUGAUUCGCCCAUAAUUUAUUCAAUUACUCAAAUAUAUAAAGUUGUUUAAGAGUUGUAUUCCGAAUUUUAAUAGUUUAAAACAAUUGCCUUUGGCGAAUAUCUUGACCAGAAAAUUUAAACAUCAAAUAAUGUAAUAAGCUGCAAAGUCAAAUGCAAAUUUAGCUAAAAUGGUAAUUAAAACUCCCAUCUAAAAAUGAAAAAUAAUAAUUAAACUAUACAACUAAAAUAUAACAAAAAAAAUUUAACAAUUUGACUUUUUUUAAUAAGAAACCUAAAUAGAGAAAAAUAGGAAUAAAUACCUUAAAUUGCCUCAAUUCCGAAGCAAAUCUUGGAAAAAAAAGACAGAAAUAUAUUAGUACCAAAAAAAUAGAAGUAAUUAAAGCCAAAAAACUAAAAAAAACAGGAGUUUAUACUCACAAAGUUAGCUAAACUAAAAAAACUAAAAUUGAACAUAUAUAUGAAUACAUAUAUGAAUAUAUGUUGAAACAUGACAGUGAAUUAGAUGAUAUUAGAGGUUUAAAAUUGAACUUAUAUAACUGUUCCGAAAAUAACAUGUUCCCAAAAUUGAACAUAUAUAUAUGUUCCCAAAAUAACAUUUGUCAUAUUUGCAAGUUAUGCAAAGCUAUUUAUGGACAGAAACAUACGCAUUUUAAACAUUUAUAAAUUUCAUAGCUUUAUUUUUUUAUAUAUCUGAUUGACCUCGUGAACAACAUGAUAACAGAAAUGAGUCUUAUAUAUUUUGUAAUCAAUUUUUGUGCGCAUUGAAGGCUAAAUUGGCGAAAAAUAGUGAACUUCAACUCAUCUGCUUCAGCUUGUUUGAUUUUCUGUUUUCAUUUGCAUCUUCUGUUUUCAUUUGCAAAUUGAAUUCUCUGCAAUUCUCUGCAACAUUUAUUCAGCAAAUUGAAUUUUCUGUUUUCAUUUGCAUCUUCUGUUUUCAUUUGCAUCUUCUAAUUUCUAAUUUCAUUUAUCCAAGUAGCAUGAUUAAAGCGGUGUUUAUUUCUUCUUUUCUAACAAAAUCCUAACCAAAUAACUGACAUUUAUAAUAAAAAAUCAUAACAUAAAUAAAAUACCAAUAAAACAUAAAGCACAACAAUGUUAUUGUCAACAGAACAUAACUAAAGAUUUAAAGAAAAAGAAUAGGGAAAUAAACAAAAUGAAGGGAGAAACACGCAGAAAUCCCCAAACCCUAGACAUGCAGAAAUCCCCAAAUUCCCUAAAUUCCCAAUCCCUAAAUCAAGAUACAGUAUUUCGAAAGGAAAAAACGCUUACCUUUUAACCACAAAUUCCGCAGCUUUGAUAGUAUCCUGUGAAGAUUGAAUAAACCCUUGCUUCGUUUGCCUUGCUUCUGAGUUCUCCUCUCAAUUUUUUUUCUUUGUAUUUUUUCACGAUUUCUGGGGAAAAGUUGGGGGGCCUUUUUGGGGACGAAAUACAUUUUUCGGCUAAGUGUUGGGAUGAAAUACAGAAUGAACAAUUGCGGCGUUUGUAAUAUAGCGCCACUAAUACCGUUAAUGUGGUAGAUAAACAACAGCGUUCUUUUAAAACUGUAAAGCAAAUUUGCGGCGUUUUCUCCUCGCGCCGCUAAAACAUACCUUUACUAGCGCUUUUACAAUUGCGCCGCAAAAGCCAGUAAAUUCCCGAACAAAAACUACAUCGUUUUGCCCAAACUAUUCAUAAUUUUUUGCGGCGUUUACGAAUAAAACGCCGCUAAUGCCCAUUUUUUUGGCGUUUUCUACAAAAACGCCGCUAGUGCCCAUUUUUCUACAAAAACGCCACUAACAAAUUAAAUUCUUCUACUGAAACGACACCGUUUUUUAGAUAUUUUAAAACAUUGUUUUUUUAAUUCAUAUUUAAAAACACAAUAUAUAAUUACAAAUUGUGGCAUUUACGAAUAAAACGCAGCUAAUGCCGUUAAUAUGCAAUAGAAAACGACAACGUUUUGAUUAAAAUACAGAGCAACUUUGCGGCGUUUUCUUCCUAGCGCCUCUAAUACCCAACCUUAGCGGCGUUUUUGCCCUUGCGCCGCGAACGCCGUUAAAUUCUCACCUAAAAACUACACCGUUUUUACCAAAUUAUUAAUAACUUUUGCGGCGUUUUUGCUCAAAACGCCGCUAAAUCUCACAUCUUUUACUUAGUAUUAUUUGUUUCUUUCUUUCUUCUAUGUUUCAUUAGAAUUUUAAUUAAUUAAUUAUUAAAAUUUUAAGUAAUGUUUAAAACUAUCUGAUAAAAUUAUAAAUUUUAGUUUUUUUAUUUCAUUUUUAUAUUUUUAUAUUUUUUCAUAUAUUUUGAUCCUAUCCAAAUUAAAUAUAAAUAAUUACUAUAUAUAUAUAAUAUCGAAUUGUUAAUGUUAAAUAUUUUUAAAUUUAAAUUUUAGUAAUUAAAUGUUUCAUUUAACAAGUUGUCUAAAAUAAACCAAAACCCUAAUUAAUGAUCACUGAACCUCCACCAAUUGUAGGAUUCUUGACAUGUGCUAUUGGUGCCCUAGGAACAUUGCCAAAAUAUCGAAAGGGGGCAUCUGCUAGCUUCCAACCCUCCAAAUCCCGUCGUUCAUCAAUAAAUAUUUUUAAAACGAUCCUUUCUACUAUAAAUUAGAAGGCUGAACCAGAUUUUGCAGAGUAGUGAAAAAGAUUUGGAGAAACAAAACCAGACGGUCACUACUUAAUAUUAAAUUUAUUAUUAUAUAUUUUACAAACAUAUAAGAACAUAUUUAAUAUAUAAAUUAAUAAAACUAAUUAAUCUAAGCAACCAUGAUCCCUAACUUGAGUAGUACCCUUAAUUGACACCCUAAACCCUAAAUCCAUAACCCUUAACCCCUAAAUCUCCUAGCCCCUAAAUUCCUAACCCCUAACUCCUAACCCCUAAAUCCCUAACCCCUAACCCCUAAACCUUAUAUCCCAAACCCUAAUAAUCAUAUAUACCCCUUAUAUAUAUACCUUCCAAAAAUUCCCUAAAUCUUUAAUAAUCAUAUAUAUAUAGUUGAAUUGGUGAAGUGAUAACAAAAGGAAUGAUAGCGAGUUAGGACGUAUAUAUAUGCAUAUAUUUUAAUUAAUUGAAUGAGAUCAAUUCAAAUUCACAAUUUGAUUUAAGUAUUUAAUUAAAUGUUUGUCAUGAAAUAUUAUAAUUAGUUGAGUAUUACGUACUAUUUCAACCUUGAAUUUAAAUUAAAUAAUAUAUAUUAUCCAUCAAAUUUUUUAAUCCUAAUAAAAAACAUAAUUUUAAAAUUUUUACCUUUUUUUGGAUGUUGAUCACAUCCACAAUAUAUAACCAGAUCAUUUGAAUUAAUUAACUUAAUACUAUAUUAAAUUAAUAAUCAUAUAUAUAUAUACCUUAAACCUAAUUAAACCCUAAAUUAACUAUACUGAUAAUUAAUUAAUUCAAUAUUUUAAAUUUAAAAUCAUACUAUAUCUGUUUUACGAUUAUAUAAAUUUUUUUUACUAUAUAUAAUAAUAUAAAAAAUAAGCAGUAUUAAUUCAUGUAUCCAAAAAUCUUAAAAAUUAUUUUAAAUAAUAGUAUUUUAAUUUUUUCCAUAUGAUUUAUUUCAAAUUAUUUUUAUGUGUUAUUUUUUCUGAAUAUUUUAAAUAUUUAAUUAGAUUUAAGUUGAAUUUUAUUUAAUUAAUCUAAAUAAUAAACCAAUUAAGAUAAAAUGUUUUUUUGCGGCGCUUCAACAAAAACUCCACAAAAACCUUAACAUUAGCGGCGUUUAUCAUAAAAACGCCGCUAAAAAUCUUAACUUUAGCGUCGCUUACAUAAAAACGCCGGCUAAGACCAAAUAUUCGCUGCGCUUCAAAGAAAUCGCCGCUAAAUACCUUAACUUUAGCGGCGGUUGAUUAAAAACGCCACUAAAACCCUCGACCAUUAGCGGCGAGAUCCUAAAAACGCCGCUGAAAGUAAAAGCAUUAGCGGCACAAAUACAAAAACGCCACUAAAGCCCUCCGAAGACCACCAAACGACGUCGUUGGGAUUUUUUUUGGCGGCGUUUUUGUCCUAAUGCAUAUUUUCAGCGGCGUUUUCUUAGUAACGCCGCGAAAGCUCAUUUUUUGGCGGCGUUUUUUGUCAAGUGCCGCUAAUUCCUGACUUUUACCGGCGUUUUUUAUCGAAACGCCACUAAAAGUGCCGCUAAAACCCUGUUUUGGUGUAGUGUAACUAAUUUCUAAUUGAUGAUGGGCUGAUUAGAAAUUAAGGCUAAUGUGUCAAAGUUAUAUAUAUUAGGGUUACGGUCCUUCAAUUAUAUACAAUGUAACUUUUUCUAAUUUCCCAUCUUUAGAAAAGAGAGAGCUAACCUGUCUAGAUUACUUGUGUGCUAAUUUGAAAAAUUAAAACCUCAAGAUCUGUAAAUUUCAAGAAAUUGAUGAAUUCAAGUACGCUUCCGUAUCUAGUUUUGUUCUUUAUUUAUUCUUAAUGAUUUAACAUGACAAAUCUUGAUUUGUUUGAAGUUUUAUAUUAGACUUUGAUUUUUCGAUUCUAACAAUCUCAACAUCUUAAGUGAAGCUGACAAGAAGAUGAAGGUUGAAAAAUUAGCAAACAAGUUAACUAGUUUCUUGGAAGAAAACAAAUGCUUGGUGAUUCUCGAUGAUAUUUGGAACACCGAGGCUUGGGAGAGCUUAAAACCAGCAUUUUUAGCAAGGCGGACGAGAAGCAAGUGCCUACUUCGGGUGCUUCAAGUGCCUACUUCAACCAUUUCCCUAAUUAAUUUCUAAUUUCAUCUAUUUUGCUACAUAAUCUUCUCUAAUUAAAAUAUUUAAUAUUUUAUGUGGUGAGAGUUCAAGUGGAGCAAAUGGUUCACGUGAAUAAGGACUUGAAGUACAUGAAGAAAUGUAAAAAAUAUACCGUGAUUCGCUCCAUAGUACAAGUGCAUGUGACAAAUCGCAAUAGCCAGAUGGUGCCUCUACAAGUGUGCAAAUUGGAAGAGAGUUCCGAGCGUUCCAAGUGGCUCACGUGAUGAAGAAAUGCAAAAUAUAUACCGUGAUUCACUCCGAGUGUUUCAAGUGCCUUGAAGAGAACCAAAAAUUCUAAACUAAUAGCUAUGCCUUCCCAUCCCAUGGUUUCAAACAAGGGCAUAAAAAGGGAUUUUUAAACCCACUAUGUUCUUCUUCAAUAUUAGUGUAAAAGUUGUCAAUGCAUUACCAUAAAUAUAAAGUUCAAUUUUAAAAAAAAAUGGAUUUGGAAUAAUUUGGUUUUUUUUAAGUCCUAACAAUAUUUGGAGGAUUCCUAUAAAGAAUUGUCUACUUUAUAUAUAUAUAUAUAUAUUAAGCGAAUGAUUUAUGGAGAUGGGAAAUAAAAAUAUAUGGAAGUUAUACAACUUCACAAUUAAAGGUCAAAUUUUGCUUAUAGUCUGUGUAUAAAUAAUGCCAAAAAGGUUAUGUUAUUUAAGAAAAUGGGUUUAACUGUUAGUUUGAAUCAAGAUUAAAAUUUUAAAAUUUAAAAUUCUAUGGAUUGAAAAGUAUUAAAUUGGAGAAUAAGGACUUAAUUCAUAACCUAUGCAUGGUAUGAAAUUAAUAGAAAAUUUUGAUCUAACAUAUGUAAUUAGUACCGUUUGACAAAAUCGACCUAAGGUCUCAAAUUUUGAAAAUGUCAAAUUAGAAGGAUUAAGUCCACAAAUUUCGCAAAAUAUAUGGACUAGUAGCACAAUAUGACCUAAAUAAAAUUACUCACUCUUCCUCCAACUUGGUUUCCAGUUAAAUAAGAGUGGCUGUUGCUACUUCUUUUUUCUUUUCACGCUCGCUAGAAUUGAAAUCAUAGAAAGAUUACAUUUUGAGAAAUUAAUUUUCAGAACAAUCUAUGGAUUUCUCUGCUGUGUCUUAUGCUCUCGAAACAAUCGACAAGCUAACACAAGAAGUUACAUCCUUGUGGGGCGUCGAUGAACAAGUUGAGGGCUUAGCAAGUGAGCUGAGAUGGAUGGAAAGCUUCUUGAAAGUGGCAGACGCAAGCAAAGUUGAUCAUGAGGUGAUACGUACCACCGUUGUUGAGAUCAGAGAGUUGGCCUACGAUGCUGAAGAUGUGAUCGAGACGUUUUCCCUCAAAGUUGCUUCCAAAAGGAAAGGUGGAUUUUCAAAUUGCAUCAAGAGAUCCGCUUGUUUCCUCAAGGAGGGAUGCCUGCUCCACCAGAUCAAGUCAGAGAUAGAGAAAAUCACAGCCAGAAUCAAAGUAUUGACUCGACAAUUGAAGACGUAUGAUGUAUCAAAGUUAGGUGUUGAUGGAGAAGGACCAAGUUGUUCAACUGAAAGGCGGGAGGCAAGGCGGCCUUAUCCUCACGUUAUGGAUGAUAACAUUGUUGGAUUGGGUAAGGAUAUCAAGAAACUUGUCCCAGUUCUUCUCGAUGAGCAAAGUGAAUGUAGGGUUGUCUCCAUAUGCGGAAUGGGUGGUCUGGGCAAGACCACUCUUGCCAAGAAAAUAUAUAGUCAAAGCCAAGUUGUUGGUCAUUUCAAACAUUUGGCUUGGGCAUACGUUUCUCAAAACUGUCAAAAAAGAAAAGUAUGGGAAGACAUUUUAUCUGAUUUUAACCUCUUAAGUACUGAAGCUGACAAGGAGAUGAAGGUUGAAAAAUUAGCAGAGAAGUUAUCUAGUUUCUUGGAGGAAAAUAAAUGUUUGGUGGUACUCGAUGAUAUUUGGAACACCGAGUCUUGGGAUAGCUUAAAACCAGCAUUUUCAGCAAGGGAGACGAGAAGCAAGAUAUUACUCACCUCUCGGAACAAAGAGAUAGUUUCACAUGCUGACAGUAAAGGUUUCCUAUAUGAGUUGCAGUAUCUAAACUACAAACAAAGCUGGGAAUUAUUUCAAAAGAUUGCCUUUCCCCCAACAAAUUCUCCAGGUAAUAUGUUUAUUGAUUUCAUAAUUGCAAAAUUAUUCUUGUCUUAAUAUAUAUUGCAAUGUUUACUCUACAUUCUAUUUUUUUUGUUAAAAAAAAUUCUAUAAAGUUAGUUGAUUAAUAUUAUAAAUCAAUUAUAGGGAAUUAUUAAAUUAACUUUCAUUAAUAUCAAAAUCUUGAUUCAUUAAAGAAAGAUACGAGGAGCAAGCAUAACACUUGUAGUAAAAAAAAAAAAAAGCACCAACUUUUAGAUUAAAUAAUUAUAAUUUAAUUUAGAAUUAUUAAUUAAAAAAUUGAACUAAUUUUAAAAUAAAAUUAUUAUUUGAAUAAAACUCUAAUUAUAAAAUAUUUUUAUAAUUUGUGUUUAUAAUUUGUUUAUAUAAAAGCUUGUAUUAUGAUUGCUGCUCAUAAUAUUUUUAAUUUAUCUACUUUCUAAUUUCUCCUACUAAAAUAAAGCCUUAAAACAUAGUACAAUAAAAACUUUCUAACUAUGUGUGUAAAAACAUUUUAUUUAUUUUUAAUAACUUUUCAAAUUGUUAAAUUGGUGAUAAUAUUGUGGUUAAUUACUAAAAUGUAAUGUUGUGGGUAACUUGCAUUGCAUCCUGCUUCACUAAUUAUUUGAAAUUGUUUAAGAUGUCAAUAUUAUGUGGUUAAUUACUAAACUGUAGUCUGAUUUUGAAGUUAUCACUGAUUUUUUUUGAAACUUUGUUUUGGUAUUAUACAGGCUAUAAAAUUGAUGCGAAAAUGAAGGAGUUGGGAGAGGAAAUGGUUAAACACUGUGCAGGGCUUCCAUUAGCCAUCAUUAUAUUGGGAGGAAUUUUGGCUACAAAGUAUCCUUCAUUAACUGAAUGGCUGAAGGUAUCUGCAAAUGUGAAAUCAUACUUGAACAACGAUAAAGGUGAAGUACUAAGAGAUGUGUUGGCAUUAAGUUAUGAUGAUUUGCCUCCCUAUUUAAGACCAUGUUUUCUUUAUUUAAGCCACUUUCCGGAAGAUUAUGAGAUACCUGCGGAUAGAUUGAUUCAGUUAUGGAUUGCCGAAGGUAUUGUUUCAUCAAAGCAAGAAGGAGAUGAAGGGCAAAUAGCGGAAGAUGUGGCUGAAGGUCAUUUGCUGGAGCUUGCAGAAAGAUGUAUGAUUCAAGUACGAGAAAGAGACAUUGCAACCUUAAAGAUAAGAAGUUUUCAGAUGCAUGAUCUAAUGAGAGAUGUUUGCUUGUCCAAGGGAAAACAACAAAAAUUCCUCUAUAUUGCAGAUCAGUCAAAUGCGUGCCAGUUAUCCACUAUUGGGAGGGUUCGUAGAAUUUCUGCACACAAAUUUUUUUGGAUACAGUGCAUUAAAAGUCCGCGCCUUCGAUCACUUUUGUUCUUCGAUAAGUUUGUACCGAGGGAGGAAGAGGACAAUAUUUUGCCAUUGACAAUGAUGAGCUACUUCGACAACCACGACGAUGAAAUUUUCAAUCCACUUGUUUGCUUUGUCGCACUUUUUGGUUUAAGUGUGUUAGUUACUAAAUUGAGGGGAAUUUGGAAAUAUAUGUUCAAUAAUUUUAAUUUUCUUAGAGUGUUAGAUUACGAAAGAGGAGGAGCAGCAGGAUGCAAGUUACCCAAUGACAUUGGUAAACUCAUCCAUUUAAGAUUCUUGAGUCUAAGGGAUUUGACCUUCGGGAGUUCAAAGUUGCCAUCAUCUCUAGGCAACUUAAGGUGCUUGCAAUCCUUAGAUUUAAGAAUCAAAAACACUCGUUUUAAAUCUGCUCAUGUACCUAACGUGUUAUGGAGGAUGCAGCAACUAAGGCAUCUAUAUCUCCCCGUGGAAUGUAAUCGUAAAACAAAGUUGAAGCUGGGUACAUUGAGAAACCUCCAAACACUUGUCAACUUCAACACCAAGAAUUGUUAUGUAAAGGAUCUUAUCUACAUGACAAAUAUUAGAGAGUUGAAGAUUCGAGGGCCCUUCAAUAUUGAAGAUUUUAACACGGAGUUGGGCAAGAAUCCACCCAUCGUCCAAAGUAAAUAUCUUCAUUCCUUGUCUAUCAUCAAUUAUGAAGGAAGACUAGAUCCAAGACAUUUGACUCACCUCCUUUCAAGUUGUGAUAGCAUUUCUACGUUGAGAUUAGAUGCGGAGAUAAGAAGGUUACCAGAGUACCACUACUCAUCUUCAAAUCUCGCUUACAUAAAAUUAAGGUGGUGCAAGCUUGAGGGAGAUCCAAUCCCAACACUUGAGAAAGUGCCCUGCUUAAGGAUCCUUGAAUUACAUGAAGAGGCGUUCAUAGGAAAGGAAAUGUUUUGCUCCGGACAAGCUUUUGCUAAACUUGAGUCUCUAAGCCUUAAGGGACUGGAUUUUCUGGAGGAGUGGAAAGUGAGUGAAGGAGCCAUGCCUUGUCUUCGGCGAUUGGAGAUACAGGACUGCAGCCAACUAAAAGAGCUUCCAGAUGGACUGAGGUUCAUUGCAACCCUUCAAGAACUGAAGAUUGAAUCAAUGCCAAAGACAUUCAAAGAUAAAGUGGAGGAAGGGGGAGAAGAUUUCUGCAAAGUCCAACAUGUUCCUUCUAUCAUAUUCCAAAAUUGCGAGGGGUAGUAAUCAUGAUUAAUGCCAGGUAAUUCAUAAUCUCUGUUUUAGGAAAUACUUAACCCAUUUGUUUAUACAUAAAAAUCCACAACUAUUUUGCAUGUUUAUACAUCAUAUUGAUAUUUUUUAAUAUUUCCUCUUCAGGUAUUGAAGCCAUUGCCAUUUUUUUUUAUUCUGUUGCUGCUCUUCAUGGGACCAAAUAUAUGUAAAAAAGUUGUAACAAACAGUACUGUGUGAAAUUGUGUACGUGGUGUGAAAUUUUUUGUAUCGUAAAAUUAGAGAUUUGAAGUUGUCUUGUAUUUUGUUUUUUUUGUUAUAAAUUUCAAAAUUGUACCCAGUCCCCACACACUUUCCGAUGACGUCCCUCCACUACCAAAGCAUGGGCUGCAGCAUUAAGCGAACGGUUCACAAACUGGUAAGAGACUACAUCAAAACCCUGUCGCAAUCUUUGAAUAUUAUGAACAAUCGGUCGAAUAAUCGAUCUAUCUUCCUCAUUUUUGGUCAAUUUUUUAAUAACUGUCAGAGAGUCCCCUUCCACAAUCAACCGUCGAAAGCCCUUUAAUCUUGCAAGGAUCAGCGCUCUUUCACAAGCUCGUGCUUCCGCCACAAAGGCAUGAUCUAAUGAGAGAUGUUUGCUUGUCCAAGGCAAAACAACAAAAAUUCCUCUAUAUUGCAGAUCAGUCAAAUGAGUGCCAGUUAUCCACUAUUGGGAGGGUUCGCAGAGUUUCUGCUCACAAAUUUAUUCCCUUACAGUGCAUUAAAAGUCCACGUCUUCGAUCACUUUUGCUUUUCGAUGAGCUUUUACCGAAGGAAGAACAGGAAAAUAUUUUGCCAUUGACAAUGGAAAGUUACUUCGACAACCACGAUAUUGACAAUCCACUUUUUUGCUUUGUGGCACUUUUAAUUUUUAGCGCGUUAGGUAUUAAAUAUAGGGGAAUUUGGAAAUAUAUGUUCAAUAAUUUUAAUUUUCUUAGAGUGUUAGAUUACGAAGGAGGAGGAGAAGCAGGAUGCAAGUUACCCAAUGACAUUGGUAAACUCAUCCAUUUAAGAUUCUUGAGAUUAAGGGGUCUGGACUUUAUGAGUUCAAAGUUGCCAUCAUCUCUAGGCAACUUAAGGUGCUUGCAAACAUUGGAUUUAAGAAUCAAAAGCGACCAUUCAAACUCUAUUCAUGUACCUAACGUGUUAUGGAGGAUGCAGCAACUAAGGCAUCUAUAUCUCCCCGAGGAAUGUAAUCGUAAAACAAAGUUGAAGCUGGGUACAUUGAGAAACCUUCAAACACUUGUCAACUUCAACACCAAGAAUUGUUAUGUAAAGGAUCUUAUCAAAAUGACAAACCUUAGAGAGUUGGAGAUUCGAGGGUCCUUCAAUAUUGAAGAUUUUAACACGGAGGAGUUGGACAAGAAUCCACCUAUCAUCCAAAGUAAAUAUCUUCAUUCCUUGUGUAUUAUCAAUGAUGAAGGAAGAAUAGAUCCAAGACAUUUGGCACACCUCCUUUUGAGUUGCGAAAACAUUUCUAAGUUGUGGUUAGAUGUGGAGAUAAGAAGGUUACCAGAGUACCACUACUUGUCUUCAAAUCUCGCUUACAUAAAGUUGAGAAGGUGCAAGUUUGAGGAAGAUCCAAUGCCAACACUUGCGGAAUUGCCUUACCUAAGUAUGCUUGAAUUACAUGAAGGGGCUUUCAUAGGAAAGGAAAUGUUUUGCUCCGGGCAAGCUUUUGCUAAACUUGAGGACAUGUUUGGUUCAGUGUAUUAGGUAAUCCAUUACUGACCAAUUACGCGGCUAUUACAUUACGCCCCUAAUCCGGCGUUUGGUUCGCUGUAAUAGGUAUUACGCGCGUAAUACAAUCCCCACCUAAUCCCCAAAUUCCCUGCUUUUCUAAUCCCUUCCCAAAUCGAGUAAUAGGUAUUACGUCCGGCUUCCCUCCCCAACUCUCUGUUUUACCCUCCCUCCCUACCCGACCCUCUCCUCUUCUGUCCUCAUAAUUUCUCCUCCCAUUUCCCACUACUUUCGUUGAUGAUUCUGUCCUCAUCGUUUCUUCUCUCAGUCUCGGCGUUUGGUUUUGGAGGUAUGAAUAAACUUUUUAAUUUCUUGAAGCAUUUUACAUGAAUCUUUUCGUAAUAAUAGUUUCAGCCAUUUUUUGAAUGACUUGGGUUUUUUCCCAGAAUUUUCCCUUUGCUUGUUUCUUCUAGUUCUAUUUCUUCGUUUUUGUUUUUGGUGCUAAAUACUCGCUUGAAUAUCGAGUUAACUCUUUUUCUUUCUGCUAGUUCUAUUUCUUCGUUUUGCUUGUUUCAUUUUUUGGUGCUAGUUCCAGAAUGUUUUGCUUGUUAUACUAAUCGAUCCCAAGGAUCGGGUGGAAGCGAGGGGAAAUAAAUUUAUGCUAAGUGAUGCAUAUUGAUGGUGUGAAUGUAGUUCACACUUGUAAAGCAAAGCAGUAAAGCCGAUAAGAUCACUGCUUGCUGAUCUGCAUGGAUUCUUUUUUACUUUGCAAAGCUUUUUUAGAUUGAAACAUAUGCUUUGCUUGCACAGUGUGAUCAAAUAAUGCAGAUGAUUGAAAAAAGUUGCACAAUUCCUAGUUUUCUUCUUUAAACAAGGAUUUGUACUUUCUGCUUCUUUUUCUUCAUAAAGAGCAAUUCUGCCUUACUUGUUAAAACAUUCAAUAAUAUUUCAAGUUUGCGCAUCUUACUUGAAUUGGUACUUUAAACAUUUGUCUAGGUAUAAGCUCCUUCAGCUUUUGAGUCAAAGCCCUCCCAACAAAAUAUGCCUACAAAAUGUUAGCUGAUAUUCGAUUAAACUGCUUAUUCAACAUACAAAAUAUGAAAUUCAUAGAAAGGGGCCGAAAUUCAGAUAGGAGUUGCACUAUUUUAAUAUCACAACUGUUAAAACCAGAAAUUAAGAAUGCAAGCAAACACAUAUCAAUACUAGCAAAACAUUCUCAAAUAAUAACAUACUAAAGCAUUAUACAAAUUAGGUUGGAAGAAAAUUCAAGAAAACAAUCUGGACCAUGGUUGUUAAUAUGCUUUUAGCCUGUAAGAUUUGAAUGACAGUUUUAGACAAAGACCAGACCAAUAGAAAUGUAUACAACCAUUGACACAUUAAGUUUUACUUAGGUUAGCAAUUUAUUUGUAUAAUUUAUUUGUAUUCACAAAAUGCUCAUUAUUACUUACAUUACAAUCUCACCUGAUAUACAUAUAUUGAGACACUCCUGAAUUACUCUAGACUCAGAUAGGCUGUAUGAACACCAUAGGCUGAAAAUAUAUGGGGUAAAUUCUAUACAACUCCUAUUUCAACCAUUCCCACAUAGCACCUUAUGAUUUUUUCUUUUCCAAUUAAAACCUUGUAGUUAAGUUUCAGUUACAUAGAGGAUUAGCAUGCCAAUUUUAUCUAAUAAAAUUAUGAAAAGAACCUUAGUGUGAAUAGAUGACUUCUGAGUUGAGGGUAUUUUUAUAAUUUAGCUGAUAAAUUUAGUGGCAUAACUCCCUGAGUUUAUAGAAUUUAAAUACAGGAUGAUAAUUGUAACCCAAAGGAAAAAAAAAGAACCACAUGGUGCCACGAGGUAAAAGUUGAAACCACAGACAUAAAUGGAAUAUAACCUUUUACUCAAAGAAUACCAGUAAAUAUUUGUAACAAUUCAAAUAAAAAAAGAGGAGCACUAGACAGCUGACUAUGCCAACCAAUUCUACUUGUAUUUUUUAAUUUUUAGUAACUACUUGUUAAAACAUUUAAGCUGACUAUGCCACCACAUUUAGCACAAGUCUCGGCUGUUCGGGAGGCUUUAUUAUGGUUAAACCCUGCCCAUAUGUGAAGGAUUUGAUUUGUGUUGAGAUCAAUUCUCAACACGUUUUCAAUGCCGUAUAUAUAUAACCUCUAAAAAUACUACUAGCUGCAUUGGUAUUCAUAGAGAUCAGCUAGUGUUUUUGACUGUAUAUAUAUAACCUCUAAAAAUACUACUAGCUGCAUACAUAUCAGACAAAAGAAAAAACCUCCAUUAAUACAAGCUCUUGUUUUUUUUUCCUAUUUCUUUCUAUCUGAUUUAUCUUGUUUCUGGUCCUUCAUGUGUUUAACAUCCUUAGCAUGUGUUGUGUUUUCGAGAUUCUUUUGAUAUUACAAUGAUUACUCUUUAACAGUUUAUUUGUUGUUUAGUUGAAUAUAUUUUGCGGAAUCACCCAUUUCCUUUGUUUUUAUCUUGUUUUCAUAAUGUUUGCUGUAAUAUUCAUUUUGAAUCAUAUAUAUUCAAAGCUGCCAAGUUGGUAUAUUUAAUAAUCUAAAGGAAUGGUUACUAAAAGAGAGGCUGCUUUGGUAAAGUAUAUGAUCAAUUUUAUAAACUGAUUAUUUUUGUAACAUCGAUUUCCCUUUAUUGGUUACAGGUUCUUUGUUCCAACACUUCUACAUCGCAGUCGUCCCCGAUUUGCUCAUUACAGGUUAGUUUUCCAUUGGUAUUCAUGGUUGCGAAGGAUUUAGGAUAGUAGGGUAUGUAGUUUUGGGUGUUUAGCUUGCUGCUUUGUUUUAUCUGUUAGGCAACAUGAUAGUGAAUUACUUUUGUUGUUCAUUGGAGAAGCUUUCACAUCUGCUUAGGUUGCCUCCAACUAUUGUUGGGGUUUCACUCCUUCCACUGAGAAAUGGGGCACCAGAUGUGUUUGCCAAUAUAGCUGCAUUUUUGGGGACAAAUACAUGUGAAGUGGGUCUUAAUAGUGUGUUGGGUGGUGCAAUUUUUGUUAGUUGUGUUGUUGCAGGGACUGUCUCCCUUUGUGUAGUAGAGAAGAGGAUCCAGAUUGAUAAACGAUGCUUUAUUAGAGAACCGGAGUAGGGGGAAGGAUGGUAGGGGAGAGGGAAAGAAUCAGAGUAGGGGAAGAGGGUUAGUAAAGCAACGAUGUGAAGGGGGAAGGGAAAUCAUAAGAGUAGGAGGAGGGAUGGUAAGGAAAAGGGAGAGGGAUGGGAAAUGGGGAUGGAAAAUGAAAAUCUGUAACGGAAUCUACUUUGAUGGGAGUUCCAGCAGAAAAGUGCAGUUGAUGGAAUCUACUUUGAAGAGAAUGAUGAGGUCUCUCUCUGAUUUUUUCAUCUCCAUGAACUUCAAUCUCUCUCUCUCUCUAUAUAUGUAUAUAAACAACAUCAUCCCUCACCAUUCCUGCUUUUAACUUGUGCAGUAUGCUCCUGUGGUUGAGAUGUUGGAUGAGCCGAGCGGUAGCGAACCCACAUCUUAGAUAGUUACAUCAUGUCUUAUUAUUUUUUGUUAAUACAUUAACGGCUGUGAGGGUAGUUUUCAACUUUGGAAAUAGCAAGUCUGUGGUAUAUCAGCCUAUAGGAUCAGAGGUAAACAACACUUGAAAUUAAUUCCAUGUAUAAAUCAAUUAUCUAAACUACAAUGAACUUCCAAUCUUGUCUCAAAAUUGUGUGACCAUGGACUGGGACAUAUGCUUAAUUUAAGCCCUGAAAUGCAGUGUUCGAUAGAUACAGCUAUUUUUUACUUGAUGUUCUUUUGUUCCAUUCUGUUUAUCCUGCUUUGGUUAGAGAACUAGACAAGGGGUGAUGCAUUUAUGAUGAACUCCUUUCUCAAAAUAAAAAAUUGUCUAAAAUUCAGUACAAUAUUCAGAAGAUAAUAGUAAUGGUUAUUGAAUUUAUGUUUAUUAAAAAUUAAUCAAUAAUUGAGUUGAAGUAAACCGGUGAAAUGCUUACAAAUAAAUAUUCUUUUAAGUUUGGAUUCAAUCUUUAAAAUUGCAUAUAAAAAUACCAAAAGAUGAGAACACCGUUAUAUAAAUAUUUAAUUAUUUUAUUAAAAUAAUUAACUCAGAAACAAAUAUUAUAUUUUUGUUCAUGUAAAUAAUUCUUAAAUUUGAAUCUAGAUAAUUAUUUUAAAUUUUAUUAAAUCAUAUAUUUUAAUUAAAAUAUAUUUAAUAUUAAUUAUUUCAAAUUAUAUUUAUAGUAUCAUAUAUUAUGAUUUUAGUAAAUUCAUAUAAGAAUAUUGAUUAUUAGAAUUUUAUUAAAUUAUAUAUUUUAAUUAAAAUAUAUUUAAUAAUUAUUAUUUUAAUUUAUAUUUUACAGUAUCAUAUAUUAUGAUUUGAGUAAAUUCAUAUAAGAAUAUUAAUUAUUAAGAAUUUUAUUAAAUUAUAUAUUUUAAUUAAAAUAUAUUUAAUAAUAAUUAUGUUUAAAUAUGAGUAAAUUAUUUAUUAUUGAUAUUAAUAAUCUUAUUAAAAUUUAAAUAAAAUAAUUUACCAAAACAAAUUUCUGCUAAUUAUUAAGAAUUUUAUUAAAUUAUAUAUUUUAAUUAAAAUAUAUUAAAUAAUAAUUAUGUUUAAAUAUGAUUAAAUUAUUUAUUUUUGAUAAUAAAUAAUCUUAUUAAAAUUUAAAUAACAAUAACAAUAAUCAUUUACCAAAACAAAUUUAUGCUAAGGGUAUUCUGGUCAUUUUAGUUUUCUCCAUUAUGCUAUUACACCUCUAUUACAUUCAACCAAACACAGUUUUACUAUUACGCCUAUAUUCCAUUACAUUCAACCAAACAGUUGAUUUGCUAUUACACAUCUAUUCCAUUACACCUCUAAUCCAAUACAGCGAACCAAACGUGCCCUGAGUCUCUAAGCCUUAAGGGGCUGAACUUUCUGGAGGAGUGGAAGGUGAGUGAAGGAGCCAUGCCUUGUCUUCGGCGAUUGGAGAUAGAGUUCUGCGGACGACUAAAAAAGAAUCCAGAUUUACUGAGGUUCAUUGCAACCUUCCAAGAACGGAAAAUUUAAAAAAUGCCAAAGACAUUCAAAGAUAAAGUGGAGGAAGGGGGAGAAGAUUUCUGCGAAGUCCGACAUGUUCCUUGUAUCAUGUUGCAAGACUGUUUCUGGUAGUGAUUAUGAUUAAUGCCAGGUAAUUCAUAAUGUUUGUUUUAGGGAAUACUUAACCCAUUUGUUUAUAUAUAAAAAUCCACAACUAUUUGGCAUGUUUAGAUUCUUUCUCAGGCAGAUAAUUAUUUAGAGAAGAUCCUAGUUUCGGUUCUUAUCCUCUGUCUCAUAUUCCCACAAGAUUUGUCAUUUGAAUUAAAAGAGCUAGAAAAUAUUUUCAAUAAGGUGUUAAGGAUGUUCGUGAUAAUCAGCAGAUGCAAUUUUUGAACUUUUAUGUCAAGAUUCUACAACUAGUUCAUAUGAUAUUGACUUUUUUUAACUCUUCCUCUUCAGGUGUAGAAGUUAUUGCCAUAUUAUUUAUCCUGCUGCUGCUCUUCAUGGGACCAAAUAUAUGAAAGAGUUGUAACAGUACUGUGUGGAAGUGUGUAGUUGGUGAUUCGAAAUUGUCUUGUAUUUUCUAUUCUAUUGUUAAAAAACAAAAUGAUUUGAGACAUCACAAAAGAUAGCAUGUAAAUGACAUAAAUAGCCCUUAGUGUUAUAAUUUAUAUAACUAUUACAAACA
RNAcentral lists this long non-coding RNA (70128 nucleotides) under Gossypium barbadense (sea-island cotton). RNAcentral describes it as "long non-coding RNA (GBAR_LNC021233)". The stretch from base 44282 to 44368 matches the Rfam family "MIR7486 microRNA precursor family". Lineage: Eukaryota; Viridiplantae; Streptophyta; Magnoliopsida; Malvales; Malvaceae. The record is from RNAcentral.